This 88336-nucleotide long non-coding RNA is filed under the name Zea mays. RNAcentral describes it as "long non-coding RNA (ZMAY_LNC003133)". Lineage: Eukaryota; Viridiplantae; Streptophyta; Magnoliopsida; Poales; Poaceae. The record is from RNAcentral.
GCCGUCCCCGGGAUCCUGGUGCCGGAAGCUCUGGGCCUGGGCAACUGGGUGAAGGCGCAGGAGUGGGCGGCCGUCCCCGGCGGGCAGGCCACGUACCUGGGCGCCCCGGUGCCGUGGGGCACGCUGCCGACCAUCCUGGUGAUCGAGUUCGUGGCCAUCGCCUUCGCCGAGCACCAGCGCACCAUGGAGAAGGACCCCGAGAAGAAGAAGUACCCCGGCGGCGCCUUCGACCCGCUCGGCUUCUCCAAGGACCCCGCCAAGUUCGAGGAGUACAAGCUCAAGGAGAUCAAGAACGGCCGCCUCGCCAUGCUGGCCUUCGUCGGCUUCUGCGUCCAGCAGUCGGCGUACCCCGGCACCGGCCCGCUGGAGAACCUCGCCUCCCACCUCGCCGACCCGUGGCACAACAACAUCGGCGACAUCAUCAUCCCCAGAUCAAUCUCCCCUUGAGCUCAGCUCAGCUGCUGGUUGCUGUUUCCUGUGUACGACUAGGCCCUGCCUGUACAACGAGCGACGACGGUGACUUCCCGCCCGGAAAUUAAACCCUCGUAAUGUAAAGCUUAUGUUAUUAAGUAGCGGCUACUCUUGUAGUCUUGUCUGUAUCAAAUAUAAACUGGUUUGUUAGCUGAAUCCCAAGGUUAUUUCUGAGCCUAACCAGGGGAAAUUUAGCUCAAAACGGAGAAAAUACAUACGAGACCUUUGAUAACUACAAAGUAUUGUAUUUCAUGAGCUAGACACGAUGUUUUUUUUUAAGAUUCACGAGGGAGAGCCUCUACUGAGAUUUUAUUAGAAAUGACAAAAGAAAAUGUUACAACUUAGCCUAGUUACAAAACGUAAUCCAAAAGAUCUAAUUAUGUAGUUUACAAGCAAUGUAGCAAGUAGAACAACUCUUAUGUCUGCCACGAACUCAGCCAAUUCGGGAUGAAAAUGUAAAAUUCACACGCGCUCUGUUAAUGAUCAACCACAGCUCCUUACAGAAUUCUUGCGUACAGUGAUAAACCGAAGGAUCUUUAUUUGUAAAUAGCCAUUCAUUUCGGCUUUUCCAGAUGCUCCAAGUCAUGAGAAUGAUAAUCUCCAUAGAGAAAAGGACGUUAAGUUGGUGUUUAAGGUUUGCUGAGGCCUCCUCUGGAUUAGAAAUUCUGGGGGUUAUUCCAAUUGAGUUCCAGGAGGCUUUUGCAAAAUUGCAUCUGAGGAACAAAUGAUAAAGCGUCUCCUCCCUUUGCCAUAAACAAUUCUCACAUGAGUAAGAUUCCAGGGUCAUGUUUUUCCUUCUUAGCAUAUCUCUGGUAUUUAGUCUAUUUUUAAGCCACAGCCAAUAGAAAACUCUAUGCUUAGGUUGGUGCUCUUCCAUAAGUGUUUGUAGAUAGGGUGAACCUGCGUCUGGCCCAUAAAGUGCCUGUAAGCUUUUUGCGAAGAGUAGUUGUCAGAGCCCCAAAUGUAUCGCCAACGGUCGUGAACAUUACUGAGGGCAAUUUGCUCCGAGACCACCUGCAACUCCAGAUACUGAUCAUAAGCUUGCUCAGAAAUAGGCAAAUGGAAAAAACCAGCGAACUGAUUCUGCUCUUUAGCUUCUUUGAUAGAUAGCUUUGUGUUUUUGACAAAAGAGAAUAGUUCUGGAAAUUUUUGUCUUGGGAUGUUCUGGCUCCACUGAUCAUCCCAGAACGAAAUUGAUCUACCAUUGCCAAUGACUGGGUGCGCCAGGCCCUUAAAGUUGGGGAGGAGCUUGAUCAUGCUCUUCCACCAGAAAGAACCAAUGUUUCUAUGACCUGGCAGUCCACUGGACAAAUAGUAAUUAUUCUAGAUGAGAUUCACCCAUGGUAAGUCACUGUUAUUGAAGAAUUUAUGCAAAAAUUUGAUCAGAAGAGCCUCGUUUUGAGUUUCAAGGCGAAGCACCCCUAGCCCGCCAUUCACUUUUCUCUGAGUAACCGAAACCCAAGCAAUCAGAGGCGAUUUCUUGGAACUAAGGUCAUUCCCUCUCCACAGACAGUUUCUCCUGAAGAUGUCUAUUUGCUUAAUGAUGGUUUUAGGAAUCUUGAGCGUACACAUAAAGAAGGUUGGCAGAGCUGAAAAGACUGAAUUUACCAACACCAAGCGCCCAACUUGGGAUAAAAAAUUUGAAGAGCAUGACAAUCUCUUUUCAAUCCUUUGGAUAAGAGGCAGAAAGUGCUGCUUUCUGGAUUUCGCAAGGCCCAAAGGCAAUCCAAGAUAGGUGAAUGGCAUUCCUCCAAUCUGGCAGUUGAGAGUUCGAGAGAGGAUCUCCAUCUUCUCUGAAGGCACAUUUAUUGGAUACAUAUUUGAUUUGUUAUAGUUUACCUUUAGGCCAGUAGAAGUCUCAAAUGAGUUGAGAAUUGCCUUAAGGAAGAAAAGUUGCUUUGGACAAGCCUCUAGAAUCAAAAGAGUAUCAUCUGCAUACUGAACAAUCGGGAAAUCCAGGUCACCAAUAGCAGGUAAAGGAAGCUUAAGAAGAUUCAAAAGCCUGGCCUUAUUAAUAAUGCUCUGAAGAAGGUCAGCCGCCAAGACGAACAACAGUGGCGAAAGAGGGUCUCCUUGUCUAAUACCUCGCUUGCAAUGGAAGGAUUUACCAGGGACGCCAUUGAGCAACACCGAAGAAGUGCCAGAAAGAAGGAUGCUCCGAACCCAAUUAACCCACUUAGGACCAAAGCCUUUGUGGAUCAAAACUUGAAGAAUCAGUUCAUGCUCAACAGUGUCAAAAGCCUUUUCGAAGUCUAGUUUAAGCACAAUGAUUUCUUUCUUUGAGGAGUGGCAUAAGUGAAUGUAUUCAUAAGCCCAAGCCAAGCAAUCCUGAAUAGAUCUGCCCUUGAUGAAACCAUAUUGGUUCCUAUGAAUUAAUCGAGACAUGAACGACUGCAGACGAUUUGCCAAAAGCUUCAUUAGGAUUUUCAUACUAUUGUUUAAUAACGAAAUUGGCCUAUAAUCUCCCACCUUCUGCGUAUUCUCCUUCUUCGGGAUCAAAACAAUGAAGGACCCAUUAAUACUUCUUAGGCAAACUUCACCAUGAUAGAAUUUUUCACAAAGAUCAUAGAAGUCUUGAGCAAUGAUAUGCCAACACUUCUUAAUGAAGUUGGUAUUGAAACCAUCAGGACCAGGAGAUUUAUCCGAAGGUAAUGAUUUUAUAAUGCUGUCAAUCUCCAUCUUAGUGAACGGGGUGUCUCACUCGUGAAGCUCCUCAUUACGGAUUAAAAGCUCUGGAAGGUCAAAAUCAAUGCCUGAGAAAUCAGACGAUCCCAAUCUGCACUUGAAAGCAUCCCAGAGGAGACCAGAUUUAUGUUCGUGCUCAAAAUGUAUGACCCCAUUCUCGUCAGUCAAAGUGGCAAUUGAAUUUUUCCUGUGUUUAAUGGUGGCAUGAGCAUGGAAGAAACGAGAGCCAAUGUCACCAUCAGUUACCCACUUAAUAGUCGCCCGCUGCUUCCAAUAAAUUUUCUGAAUGUUCAGUAGAUCGGCCACUUUUUGCUGCAGAAUAUCUCUGAAAUUCCAUUCCUCAAUAGAAAGAUCCCGAUGCUCUUCCAUAUUGUCUAUAAGUUCAAUUAGUAGCUUGAUGUUUUGCACCGUUUUAUCAAUUUUUGGCAGCGAUCUCUACCAAUCCUUCAGAACCUUUCGAACACACUUAAACUUGGCAGUCAGGUUUUUAGCCUUGUCAGGAAGGCAAGGGAGCCCAGCCCACGUGGUUUGAAAGAAAUUCAAGAAACCGUCCAAUUCGAGCCAGAAGUUUUCAAACCGAAAAAUUUUAGGUUUAGGGAUCUUGGACUUAAAAGAAACCAGGCAAGGAACAUGGUCAGAGAUGUCUCCCGGCAUCGUUUUGGCACAGAAAUCUGGAUAAACGAUCGACCAUUCUUGAGAGAUGAAAAACCAAUCCAGCCUCUGAAGAAGGGGUUCCCUCUGUCUGUUCGACCAGGUGUAUGCUAAGCCGUGAAGGGGAAUUUCAAUCAAAUCUAAGUUGCUUAUUGCUUCAUUGAACUUCAGCAUUAAGUUAAUAUCACCCCCAGCCUUAUUUCUGUCUUUAGGCCGACGAAUUAAAUUUAAGUCCCCAACAAGGAGCCAAAGCUUGUCAGAAGGCAUAGAAAUAUUAUGCAGCCAAUUGAGGAAAUCGAUUUUCCCUUGUGAAGUACAAGGAGCAUAAACGUUUGUAAUAAUCUAGGAGCAAGCCGAUAAAUUUGAAGUAAAUUCCACCGACUGAGCAUAAUCAUUUUGGAAGAUAACAUUUCCUGAAAGUUUUGAGCUUUUCCAGAUGAUAACUGAACCUCUCGAGUUCCCCACCGAGGGAACAAAAGCAAAUGAAUCAAAUUGAGAAGGACAGAAGUUUUUUAGGUAAAACGAAUCAAAGAGAUCCUUUUUUGUUUCUUGUAGACAGAUAACAUCGCAUCUAGAAUCCCGAAUUGAACAACGAAUGGCGUUCCAUUUAAUAGUAGAAUUAAUUCCUCUAACAUUGUAACUCAGCACAGACCACUCCAAAUAAUUAACAUCAUUUAAGUUACUCAUUGAGUAAACUAGAAGUUUUUGAGCCAGAACGAUACCCAAAACAGUGGGUAAAAUAAGUGUCAGUCGGCAAGCAAAAGAGGAACAUAAAGGUAAAACAAGCACGCACAGGUGCCAGCCAAGUAUCUAGAAGUCCUGGGAAGACCCAACCCAUAAACAUGCACACCCAAAAGUUAGAGGGGCAAAAACCAUAGCCCAGACCACCCGCCUUCCACCUAGUGCUUAUCUUGCUUAUCCUCAUCUGUUGAGCCAUCAGUCCUCUCAUCAUCCGAAUCCUUUCUGCUUGUCCUAUGCUGGCCAACAGAUCCCACAGCAGAUUUCUUCUUCUUCAAACGGCGCUCAGAUAAGUCGUCAUAUGACAAGUUGCAGAACCCGCUCCCCAGAUUCUGAAUCACCUUGGAGGACAGCAAGGGUGGGCCAUCAAAGUUAUGCUGGCACAUGAGACAAUUCCUUUUUGGGCAGGCCCCAUUCCUGAACCCACCAUGUGAUUCCUUCAAGCGCUUACUUCUUCUGAGUUCAGACUCCACAAUGAUAGGUGCCGGGGCAUCACAACUGUCCGAUUCUUUGGAGCUCUCAGAAAGGACAUCAUCUAGAAGUUUAACAUUCGGACAUUCCUUAGGGAUGGCAAAAGGUAAAGAUUUCAGUCCCGGUUCUAGCAGAGUUGAGGGAAUUGCUGAUAACAGAAAGGACUUCUACCAACUGAAGGCUUCAGGUUGAAGCAGCUUCGAAAGAAAAAAGGGUGCCCAGUUCUUUGCGAUAUCCACCGAGGGGUCAGUUGACCCAGCAGGUGCAAAGUACAUGGCCCAAAGUCUGGAGAACUGGGCAGCUCUUUUCCUCUCCUCAAACAUCUGAAACACAGGGUCAGGUUGCCAUCCCUGAUUGACCAUGAAAUUCAUCUCUAAAUUCUGGAAAUGGUUAUUAUUUGGAUCCCCAACUUGGGCCUAAUGCGGCAAAUCAGCAAUACCAGGGACAGGGUCCACUUGAAGCGCCGGGCCAUCAACCUCCUGAGGCCCAUUGAAUGCAGCAAUAUUGACAGCAAGCCCAUCCCCUGGCAAAAUAGGACCAUUCUCAACAACAUGGCCAUUCUGUAGAGGUGCAACUUGACCAGCGCCAAAGGAACUAUCCGACGACAAGCCUGAGUGCUGAUUACUGAGUUGAAGCUCAUCCGGUUGAAUGGGUUGCAAAUCAGGCUGAAAGGGCUGCAGAAUCUGUUGAUUGGGUUGAACAUUUUCGAUCCACUAGUCCCAAUCCCCAUGGGCAUUGUCAUCCUGAAGAGCCGGCAAAUCACCACCCGCAUUCCCCGACGGGAAAUUUAGGUCAAGCCCAACCGGGGGCAUUGGCUGACCCAGACCGAAGAAAACCAAGGGAAGUUGCUGACCAUCUUCCGGGGCAGGAGGAAUAGGGUCCUCAUCCUGAGCCUGCCCGCCAAGCAUGUUUUGCUGAAUAAUCUCACACUGAACAGUCCAAGAAUCACCAACGAAGCCCUCAGCCUCCAAAAAAACAAUGAAUUGAGGAACUUCUUCAAAGGAAGUGACACGGACACGAAGCAAGGUUCUAGAAACAUUACUCCGAUCCUCCUCCCAAAGAAUCAACCUGCAAACGACCCAAUGGCUGCUUGCAAGUACUCCGAGGAACAGUAAUCCAGGGGAAACCCCAGUAGCAUAAGCCAACAAUCAUGGUUGAACAAAAGAGCCCGAUGAUUCCAGGCGUCAUUGUGGCGAACAUCAGUGAAAGUAGCAUCUAAGUAUUGUUGGGGGCCAAGCAGAACCAAAUUGUCUCGCUCCAAAACACUGCGAAACUGCACUAGCACCUGGCCCAAAUGAGAGCGCUGGAUGGCUCUAACCCCAACCCUUCGAUGUUCCACAAGGUACUCUCUGACCACAUCUCUGACCGCAGGGAACAAGACCUCAUGCUCAGGUAAAGGAUGAAUAUUGAUAAUCGCCCAUUCUUCAUGCAUUGGCGGUAAUCUCUGCAAGACUGACCUGACAAUGAUUUCAAGAUGCUGCACCGCCGAAGCGUGGAAGCCUGGCGGGAGGAAAGGCUCCGGGUCGACGCGCCGGUACGCCAUAGCAAGAUUUUCCGAAGAUCGCCGGUGAGCCGAAGGCAAGGUAGCGGUUUGGGGUUUUGGUGAAGUCACACCCAGCGAGAGCUCCAAGGACGCUACGGGCGCCUGUUCGUAUUUUUUAAUAAGACCGCCCUGGCAAACUCCUCGAAGCAGGCAAAUAUGGGAGGGGCCCCAGCCGUCAGAGACCCCGGGGUAGGGCGGAACCAGGAGCCGUAAACCGGGAAAUGAGACGUCCCUUCCAAAAGGCAAUUGCUUUCAAAGGAAGGGAACGAAGCGAGGGGAAAUCCGAAUACUGUUUUCUUAAGAUUGCAAAACAAUUCCAAAUGCCCCUUAACUUUACAAUAGUGGCAGAGAAACACUGAGGGAGCCGCACCAGACGAACCAGCCUUCACAGAGAUGGAAGAGGCCGAAGGGCCAGGCCCAGGCAUGAAAGGCCCAUUGCGCAGAAUGGGCCGCCAAUGAAGCUUACGGAUCCUGAGGAGACCAGCAUUUGAAUUUGAAAAAGGGCGAUCAUCAUGCCCCUGACGACCACGUCUAAUCAAGCUUCCGUUGUGCCUAGGAAAACUCACCGAAGAAGAAAGCCUGAGAGGAGGAUUGCUUAUCGGGGUUCCCGAGGACUUAGCAAAGACUGAAUACUGCGAGCCCCGAGCCCCUGAAGAGGUUCCCAAUCUUUUGAAGACAGAUAGCCUUGGCUCCUCCAAAUUACCAGGGAAGCGAGGAGACAACCUACGUCGACGAAUUGGAACAGCGUUCGCACCAGUCAACGGCGGAAUCCUAACAAUAUUAGCAAACGAUUUUUUUCUUGCCCUUAACAAACCACCAGUUGGCAUUUUCCUCCUGAAGAAAUAAUCUGUAUUCGUAGAUCCAAUUUCGUCCACCAAAGUUCCACAAGUUGAAGAAAGCCUUGAAUUCCGGAUGAACAAUGCAUUUAGAAUUAUAAAUGUGAAAACCAACAGCCUUGGAGGAAACUGUGAAGCGGAACACCCGAUCAGCAAGCUGAGAAACAUUGAAUCCCCUGGCAAAACCACCCAGAGCAGCUUGAAGAAGAUGACUAACUGAAACCGAGUCAAGCUUGAAGAUGCAGCGGCCAAACGAGACCACCAGCCAAAAGGCCGACGGACAAUCUGGACUUCUAGAACACACAGGGGAGGCAAACCGGCGCCUGACAUCAUCUUCGAAUAGCAAACCCGGUCGAAAGUCCAGCCUUGACAAAUCCAUCACGCAAGAUGAAGAAGACCAAGAAGAGGGGAAUGGAAAAGCACAGACGCGAGGUGAUACAAACUCGAGAGACAACCAAAGACGAAGAGGAUGCAGCUAGCAGACAAGAGCCCACCGUCAGGAUCCUCCACGGAACAAGCACACGACCGACCCCAAUGAAGCCAUCAGCGAAGCAGGAGCCUGUACCCUGGGCGGUUAGGCCGUUCCUAGCUAGACACGAUGUUGUUGGCGAGAAUAAUAAUUUCAUCAUGAUGGAUGAUUUCGUCCAAGAUGUGGUUGAUGUCCAGGGUGAAAAUGAUGGGGAGCUUAGUGAGGAGACCUUGGAGGUCCUCGAGGAUGCAUAGUUCUUUGAUGAAUUCAUUAACCACCUCAAUAAUGAUGACCUUCUAUUUGGGAGCCCAUGGUGGAUAGAGAGCCUCAAAGAAUUGAAACAUGUGACAAUGGGUCUGCUCUAUAAGGAUUGUCCAAAGGAAUGGAGGAUGUUGUAUUUUGAUCUCCAAAUGUGGAUGUUGAAGGGUCUUUUUGGAUGGUCCUACACUAGCUUCAAUGAGUUGCUAAGUAAUCUUGGUUCUGUGCUUCUAAAGGACAAUAAAGUGCUCGCCAACAUUUAUCGAGCGAAGGAGCUAAUAUGGCUAGUGUCACAAAGUCUUCAAAAGAUCCGCUCUUGUCCUAACCAUUGUAGAAUAUACGGGGCACCCAAUAUAUGAGCUUAGGGAGCUAUCCACACCAUGACACGAGUCAAUACAAGAGGAAUGUUUGGUCUCGCGUGGAUGCGAACGACGAGAGAGCCUUGAGUGAGAAAAAGAAGGUGACCAAGAAGAGUAGUGUGAAUUGUUGGACCGGAUCGACGGCGAACAGCGCAAAGAACUCAGUGUAGCGCAGUGCCGCCGGAGCGCGAUCACCACGUCUCAACGGAAGAGAGGACACAGUUGUAUUUUCUGUUGCUGCAACUGUGCAACCUUGCAAAUGCAUUCAACUGGGAAUUAAAACACCCGGAUCCGUCUUCCCCGCUGCACUCAACUGCUGCGAGACGUGCCGUAAUUUCAGCAACGUCCGCGACAUGCACGGCGAGCUAAGUCGCAGCGAAAAAACGCCCUUUGAAGCGGUCACGGCGAGGACUGAGUGCACCCAUCAGUCCGCCCAUGAUUCUACGCUGAAUUACAAAAAUGCACGCGCAAUCUAAAACAAACUAAUGCACCUACUAACAAUAUCCCUGACAAGAUUACAGUGAGGCUACUGCAACAUUUACCCCCCAUAAUCUUGUUAAUCUGCAAUUCGAAUUAUUCCAAGCUGUCUCCUCAACUCUGUGAACCGAAUUCUUCCCAGAGGCUUCGUCAAGAUAUCUGCUAGCUGAUCAUCUGAACUUACAUGUUCAAUAUCAAGAACACCACUGCUCACACACUCCCUAAUGUAAUGAUACCGGGUGUCGAAUAUGUUUACUUCUCUCAUGGUACACAGGAUUUUUGCUCAGUUCUUGUGCCGACCGGUUGUCUAUCAAAAGCUUCAAACUCUUCUGCUCAGUACCCAGUAGGUCUGCAAGAAGCCGGUUUAACCAAACACCUUGAUAGGCUGCUAUUGCAGCUGCUAUAUAUUCAGACUCACACGAUGAAAGUGAUACUACCUUUUGUUUCUGAGAAGUCCAGGUGAUUAUGUUCGUACCCAGAAAGAAAACUACACCACUAGUACUCUUUCUCUUUACAAGAUCUCCAGCAUGAUCACUAUAUCUGAGUAUCCGAAAAGUUCUGACGCCACCCCUCUUAGGUAUCUACACCCGAGAUGCUUUGUGCCUGAUAUAUAGCGGAUAAUUCUCUUGACAGCAGCCCAAUGUUCUGCAUUUAGUGACUCCAUCAAUCUACUAACCAUUCCCACCGCUACUUUUUGUUCUCGUAGCAGACCUAUUACAGUGCAUCAUUAACAAGGCUCAUCAACUUGGCCUCCUUCAGCUCCCCUUGCCACCCAAAGAUGGGGCUGGAUUUCCGAUUAUACAAUAUGCCGAUGAUACAAUUAUUGUCAUGAAAGCCUCACAAAGGGAGCUUUUCUGCUUAAAAGCUUUGCUCGAGAGUUACGCCCUAUCAACAGGGCUAAUAAUCAACUACGUAAAAUCCUGUUUAGUUCCUAUCAACACUGACAGUAAAAAAACUAAACUUCUUGCUGGUCUCUUUGGUUGCAAGAUUGAAUCUCUUCCCUUUACAUAUUUGGGGCUACCGAUGGGGACAACAAAGCCAAGGGUUGAGCACUAUGGACCCAUUAUGAGCAAGAUUGAAAGGAAGGUAACCUCCAUCUCUUCUAUGUUGUCACAUGCAGGGAGACUUCAACUUGUCAACUCUGUCCUCUCGUCUCUACCAACAUACGCCAUGUGCACCUUACAAGUUCCAGCUGCGGUCUUGGAGUACAUUGACACAGCCAGACGACACUGUUUGUGGCGUAAUUCUGAUAGCAAUGCAAAAUCUAAGCCUCUGGUGGCUUGGAAUAAAUGCACACGACCAAAGAAAAAAGGUGGUCUGGGGGUCAUCAACCUAAGAAGCCAGAACUCGUAUCUCCGAAUGAAAUUUCUUCACAAGCUCUACAACAGGAAACAAAUCCCUUGGGUUAACCUGGUUUGGAAUACCUACUACUCUAACGGCAAGACCCCUCAUGCAUCCAAGUUCAUGGGCUCAUUUUGGUGGAGAGACGCCCUUAAACUUUGUGAUCUCUUCAGAGGAAUCUCCAACUGUAAGGUUGGAGAUGGUAAAACUGUUCUAUUUUGGCAUGAUUUAUGGAAUGACAACAUCUGCAGAAACAAAUUUCCAAGGCUUUUCACCUUCGCAAAAAAUCAAAGCAUUUCGGUUGCUUCCUUUUUGACUUAGGAGAACUUGACAGACAAUUUCCACUUACCCCUUACUGAGCAAGCAAACACCGAGCUGCAACAGCUCCUGGAUGAAGUGCAACAAAUUCGAGAAUCAGUGAUUGAACCAGAAGAGAAAGACUCUUGGAGUUAUAUUUGGGGGAAUAACACCUACUCGUCAACUAAACUUUACCACUACACUUUCAAAAAUGUGAAUCCUCCAAAACCAUUUCUCUGGAUCUGGGAGUCCAGAUGUUCAAACAAGCUUAAAGUCUUCGCCUGGCUACUGUUGAUGGACAUGCUGAACACCAUAAACAUCCUAAAGAGAAAGAACUUUAAGGUGCAAGGCGACAACUACAGGUGUGCUCUUUGUCAACUUCAAAGAGAAGAAACUGCCUUCCAUUUGUUUUUCAAUUGCCCUUUCAGCAAAGACUAUUGGAGACAUCUGAAUAUUCAGUGGAACCACCAUAUUGACUUCUUUGCGACCUUUCAACAAGCCAGGGACUUGCACGGUUCACCAUUCUUUAUGGAGGUCUUUAUCAUAGCAGCUUGGCGAAUCUGGAAGCAAAGAAACAGUUUUAUCUUUGACAGGGGACGACCAUCUUUCAUUGGCUGGAAAAAAGAAUUCCGCGCCGAAGCUCUUCUGCAAGCUAAUCGCUUUUCUGAAGAGAAAUCAACUCUUUUCUCCUCGCUUGUGAAUUCCUAUAGAUAGGAGAUAGUUUUUUUUCCUGUGCUUUAGUUAGUUUCCUUCUAGUUUAUGUCUUGGGAGCGACUGCUAAUGCUCUUUAUCCGUCUUCUUCUUUAUAUUAAUAUAUAUCUACCACAACAGGGGCUUCCCUUGCUGUACAUUUUCAAAAAAAAAGUAGGACAGGUCAGGUCUGGUAUUUACCAAAUACCUCAAGCUAACAACAAUACUCCUAUAUCUAGUUGCGUCCAAACUGUGUUUAGGUUUACCUGGUGUCAGUUUCAGAUGUUGCUCCAUUAGAGUGUCAACUGGAUUACAACAUGUCAUACCACAGGCUUCAAUUAUUUUCUCUGCAUAGGCACUCUGGCCAAUGGUUACUUCACCUGGAUUUUGUUUUACUUCAAUGCUGAGAUAGUAACUCAGUAGACCCAGGUCACUCAUACUAAAGGUAGCCAUCAUCUGCUGUUUGAAAACAGCUAUGCACUCUCUGUCAGGGCCACAUAUAAUAAGGUCAUCCACAUACAGCCCAACUAGUAGCAAACUCAUUUCCACCCCUCUUCUGUAAACUGCAUGCUCUUUAAGGCUCCUUUGAAGCCCAGUUGACCAUUUCAAGAUCAAGUCUGGCAUUCCAAGCUCUAGGAGCCUACUUCAGUCCAUAUAGAGCCUUUUUUAGUCUUAGAACCUUUCUUUUUGAAUUUGAAUCAGAAAAACCUGGUGGUUGGUUUACAUAUACUUCUUCCUUGAGAUCCCCAUUCAGAAAGGCUGACUUUACAUCCAUGUGGUGUACUUCACAUUCACCUUGAGCUGCAAGAGUCAAUAGAAUCCUUACUGUUUCUAGCCUUGCCACAGGUGCAAAAACUUCCUCAUAAUCCACUCCAUGAAUCUGAGAAUAACCCUUUGCAACUAAUCUGGCCUUACGUUUUACCACUUCACCGGCUGGGUUCCUUUUCACCUUGAAGACCCACUUCAGCCCAAUAGCCUUGUGGUCUUUUGGAAGAUCAGCAAUUUCCCAGGUAUUGUUCUUCACUAUUGACAUCAUCUCCUCUUCCAUGGCUUGCCUCCAGCAAGCUUGUUCAAGAGCCUAAUCAACACUAGCGGGCUCAUCUGCAGCCAGCAUACAAACCCCACUAUAUUCAAAAUCCAGAUCUUGGUAUGUUGAGUCAUACAGAUCGUUCAAGCUUAUGUACCUGUAGACCCCUUGACUCGAGAAGCUUGAAUCAUGGGAAGGUGGAGUUACUGAUCCCUGGUUAUGUGUGGAGCCGGGAGCUGAAAUGGGAGUGGAAUUUGGUGUUUAUGGCUGACCCAUCUCACUUCCCUGUUCAACUGAGUUCACUCCCCCUAAGUUUUGAUCAGAAGAAAUUUCAGUUUCAACAAUUUCUUCUAUUGUCGUCUCUCUGUCAGUUUUAUCAUAAUGAACCUCAAACAUGUCUGGAUCUUGACUGUUUUUUUUGAAAGGAAGGGGCAAAAGACUUGCCGCUCCGAUAUAUAUUAGAUUAGAGAAGAAAGAACGGGAGAAUACAAAACCAAAGCAACUGGAGGGAAGAAGAAAAGAAAGAAAAAAUAAAAGGAAUUAAAAAGAGUUUAAAAAGAAAACAAAGAACCACUAGUCAAGUCCAACAAGACCUCAGCUACUAGCAAUAUCCUUCACUGCAAGAGCCACUGGUUCUACGCUUCUAUGCUGACUUUGAAAAAUUAUGUUAUUUCUUUCCAACCAUAAAUUCCACCAAAAAUGAAUUAGCAGACCGUCGAAACAUCUUCUUGACUGUCUGUUGCAAAGGCUACGCAGACCCGUCCACCAAUCAUACAAAGAUGUGGAACUGGGAAUCCCAGACAGGAAAGGAAGGUUGGCCCAAGACAACACUUUGCUCCACACCUCUCUACUAAAGGGGCAAUCCUUGCAUAAGCGGAGAAUUGUUUCUGGGGCCGAGUUGCAGAGACAACAUAUUGGGUUGCAAGGCCAACCCCUUUUAUGAAGGUUAUCAGCAGUUAGGAUUCUCUUAUGUAGUAGUGUCCAAGCAAAAAAGCGGCACUUCGGUUCCACAUUAGCCUUCCAAAUGGGACAGAGAUUCAUUUUACUGUAAUUGGAUGAGAAUUGGAUUUUGUAUGCACUGCUUGCACUGUACUGCCCAUCUGUCGUCCAUCUCUAAGAAAUGGUGUCCUCCAAACCAUUAAGCUUCUGCAUGUUACCUAUGGCCUGCCAUAGAGAGACGAACUCUCUUAGCUCCCCCUCACCCGUGUAUGGGGAGCAUAAUCGUAUCCAAUUGUUGUUAGUGAGCGCUUUGUCAACCGUGAUGUUCUUCCUCUUUGCCUUCUUGAAUAGAGAUGGUGCAAUGUUCUUAGGGGCUUGGCCUUGGAUCCAGCUAGAUUUCUAGAAUUCAGCUAUCUUUCCAUUGCCAACCGUCACAGUUGUGGAAGCAUUGAAGAGAUCUUCAUCAGUUUUGUCACAAGGAAGCUUCAUGGCAGUCCACGCCCUGUCUUUGCUCUUCCAUCGCAGCCAUAGCCAUCUUAGUCUUAACCCCCUCGCAAAACGAUCAAGAUCCAGAAUUCCAAGACCCCCCUUGUUCUUUGGGAGGCAAGUGAUGGGCCAGUUGAUAAGGCAGUGACCCCCGUUGCAAGCAUCUGGAUUGCUCCCUUUGCACAGUAAGUUUCUUCUCAUUUUGUCAAUUGCUUGCAACAGCCAUUUUUGAGGUGGGAAAACCGUUAGGUGGUAGGUUGUUUGUGCGGAUAGCACCGAUUUUACUAGAGUUUCCCUACCAGCCUUGGACAUCAGUUUGCCUUUCCAGCCAGCCAACCUGUUAUUAAUUUUUUCGAUUAGUGGUUGGAGAUCAAUCCUUUUUACAUUCCGGUAAUGAAGGGGUAACCCAAGGUACUUCCCGGGUAGGCUAGUGUAUUUUCCAGGAAACACAUCCAUUAGCGUUGGCCAUAAUGAUGCUGGAUAUCGAAAUGGGAAAAUUUCUGUUUUGUCAUAGUUGAUCUUUAGCCCUGAACACCCCUUGAACGCGUUGAGAAUCCCUUUCAGCACCUCCAAGUCUAAUUUGUCAGCUCUAACAAACACGCCCGCAUCAUCCGCGUAGAGAGAGCACCGAAGCUUAGCCCCUCUAGGCAGCACCUGUUCAAGCAGUCCAUCUUCAGUGGCCUUCUCAAUCAUCCGAUGUAGCGGGUCCAUCGCUAAAAUGAAAAGGAAGGGAGACAGAGGGUCCCCUUGUUGCACCCCCACGCCUGUGUUUGAUUGCAUUUGAAUGUUGCCCAUUUAUAAUUAUUCUUGAGGAGGAUGAUCCCAUGAUUUCAGCUACCCAAUUGCGCCAUUUCUGGGAGAACCCGCAGGCCCUUAACACAUCCAAGAGAUAUGCCCAAUUCAGGGUGUCGAAAGCUUUGGAGAUGUCGAGCUUGACAAAAAGAGCUGGAUUACCUUUUUUUAUGCAGAUUCAUGAUCACCCUUUGCAUGUAUAUAAAGUUGUCAUGAAUUGAUCGGUUCUGGAUGAAGGCGUUCUGAGCGUUGGAGAUAAUUUCGUUCAUUCUUGGAGCAAGCCUAUUUGCCAUGAUUUUUGUUAUAAUUUUCAUGAAGCUAUUGAUCAGGCUGAUUGGCCUAAACCUAUCAAUUCUGUCAGCAUUUUCCCCCUUCGGUAUGAGGAUGAUGUUUGCUUCGUUGACCAGAUGCAGACUUUUGGAUCUAUGUUGGAAAAAAUCAUUUAUUGCCAUGGAAAGGUCAUUUUUGAUCAACUCGAAGCAGCAUUUGUAGAACAGGCCAAUGAACCCAUCCAGCCCGGGGGCCUUUUCAUAUUGAAGCCCCAUCACAACGUCCUUGAUUUCACUGUCAUCAAUCAAGUUGUCCAGCUCAGAUAACUCAAAAGGAGCAUACCCCAGAUGGUCCCAAUGAACAGCACUACUCCUACCUGUCGUGCCUAGUACCUGGCCGAAGUGAUGUUGUACCUCGUUCAUUUUGUCUUCCUGACUCGUCAACAGUGUGCCAUCUCGAAUUAGCGAUCUGAUUAAAUUUUUCCUUCUUCUGUUAUUGGCCGCUAAGUGAAAGAACUUAGUGUUAGCAUCGCCCAACCGCAUCCAAGUAAGUCUGGAAUGUUGUCUUGCACAUGACCUCUGAGCGGAGGCAAUAUCCAGAAUCUUGAUUUUAAGAGUCCUCCUGAAUUCCAAUUCUUCGGAGGAGAGUUGUCUAAUCUCUUGUGCUUUCUCCAGAAGAGUGAGGAUGAUCUGAAUGAUAGCCAUCUGCACUUUGAAGUUGCCAACUGUAUUGCGUCUCCAGGCCAAUAGAGCCUUGGCCGAGCAAGUCAUCUUUACGUGAAGUCGAAGGAUGGCAUCAUCAGUGUUUACUGUAGAAUUCCAUGCUUGAUGGACUACCUCGUUGAACCCCUCAAUCUGUGGCCAGAAAGAUUCGAAUCUAAACCCCCGGUAGAAGUUAACCGAAGAGUGGCCUUGCAUUAAAAGCGGGCAGUGGUCCGAUGUCAUGGUGCACAUGGAGUGCAGGUCAGCCGAGGGAUACAGGUCAUGCCACUCUGUUGUCGCAAAGAAUCUGUCAAUCCUAGUCAUGGUAGGGUCAACUUGCUCAUUUGACCAGGUGAAUGCUCUAUCGGUGAGAUCUAGCUCUAAGAGAUGCAGAUCAUCAAUUAUGCUAUUGAACUGCCUCAUCACCCUUCUGUUGAUUGAUCCUUUGUUUUUCUCCCUUGCUCUCCUGAUCAUGUUGAAUUCACCUAAUAACACCCAUUCUGGUCUCACCAUGGUUUGGAUGUUACGGAGCUCAGAGAGGAAUAUCAUUUUUUCAUUGUCCAGUUGGGGUAAGUAGACACCCAUGAGGUCCCAAACCUCAUCCACCAAUCUAGAAUUGAUCCUGACUGACAGUGAAUAGGCUGAUGAACAUGGUAAGAGAACCAUGUCAAAAUAAUCCGAAUCAGCAGCGAUUAGGAUUCCGCCCGAGGCGCCCAGAGAAGGUAAGUGAAAAGUUUGGUUUGCAAGCUUGGCACCUACAGUUUCCUUUAAUAAUACAUUUGACCAGCUCGAGAUCUUUGUCUCUUGAAGGCAAACAAUGGAUGCGCCAGUGGACAAAAUUGUAUGCCUUACGCUUUCUCUCUUAGCGUGGUCGUUUAACCCCCAUACAUUCCAAGAAAAAUAGAGCAUUUCAGAUUCAUAAGGUAAUAAAAACCACUCUAGUUGAGACAGUACGAAGCCACCAAUCAUAUCUCAGCCAGGAACCCUGCUGCAGCGAACUAACAGGAAAUAAUGCUUUCAGACAAGGAUUCGCCGAGCCAAUAGAUUGCCCAGACCCAAACGACAAACUGAAAAAACAGAGAUACAAAGGCAUGCCAGGGACCCUAUAGCACUGCCCAGACGCACUAAAACCAGCAGAGAUUAAACAGCGAACAAAGGGAAGGCUGAGCCCGGAACCGCGCCGAUAGCGCCUAGCCAUCUGAGUAAACAUUGAUCUCCAAAAGAACCACCAACAGGCCUAGUCAAGGAGCUCAGAUCCCCUUUGCCUUCACGACUUUGAUGGCCGGCACCACCUUUCGACCCUUCUUUUUAGACUUCACUGCCUUCACAUUGUCUUGAUUUAUCAGCUCCAUGAUUGCCUCCAUUUGCUUCUUGGAGAGAGGCCUUGUGAAUAGACAUGUGAUCUGCUCAAAUGAAUCAUCAAAGUCAGUAAAGCCUGAAGAACUAGAGCGGUCUGAUUUUUUUACUGCAGAAUUGUUAAGUUUGGCGAGUAUGAUUUCCUGGGCUUUGGAUAUCGCAUCCUGGUUACUCCUAGUCUUAAUGCAUUUCUUCGCAGCCAGCCUAACACUUGAUCUUCUAGUGGUGGGUUGGUUCUGAAAUUUUAAUGGAUGUGAUGUGGUCGUGCUACUUUUCGGCGGGGAUGGAAUCAAUGGUGGCUCUGGUGGAUUUGUUAUUGCCGCGAUGAAGUCGAGCAACUGAGUAUUGUCGGCCGAGCUAUUCCCUGUCCUCAGAGCAGGAGAAGCUCUUAAGGUUUCAUGAUUAUCACUAUCAGCUGGUUGAAAAUCUGGUUGAUUGUCACUAUCGACUGGUUGAAAAACUGGGCCGGGUAAGUCAUGGAUAAAUGAGGCACCCAUUAGGCCGACCCGAUCAGCAGCAGGCAUGUUGUAAUCUAUAGCUUGAUUAUCAUUCACAAGUUGAGAGCCUAAAAACUCAAUCGGUUGGACAGCUAGGGCCUUGGCUAGAGUAGAAGUGUUUAGGUUCACGCUAGUGGAACACGCCAGCACACUGUCUAAACUGUUGUGAAUUGUGGCAAAAACAUUAGUGAGAUCAAUAGUAUUGGUUACCUUGCACUUGGAGGUAGCAGGGUCGUGCGAGGUUUCCUGGUUGUCACCGCCAAUAGAGCUUGACUUGCUUCCAACACCAUCAGUUAGCCCCAGACUGUCCUCCUGCGGUCAAACAACAGAAACAAUGGUGUCUGCAAAUGAAACAAUUUUGACCUUCGCCUUGGGCACCCAGCGAGAUGACGGUGUCAUCCCCAGACCAUGACGACGAAAAGGAGUUGAAUGCCUAUGCUUGUCGUUGGAGCUAUAUCAGUCAUCCAUCCCCCCCGCAUCACGACGAACGCGCCCAACCGGAAAGGCUACGAUGUCUACGGUUGCCGCUGUGUCUGUCACGCUGAAAGUCCCCUUCAUCAUCAUCGUGGCCCCAGUCACGGCGCACAGUCUCUCUACCUCUGAAAGCUUCUGCACGUUCUAUUUUUUCGCCCACUGAGUCCGGGGCGCCAUAGUUCCAAACAAACUCUCUGUGCUGCUUGCGAUUAGGAGGCCCCCUGGAUCCCCUCCCAUGGAGGAACGAGAGGUCUUCCACAACCUCGAUGUGAUUGCGAAGGGUGUAAACAUGGCCAGCUUUCAGAUCAGAAGGUUCAUCAUGAUGAGCACCAACAAGUGGUAAGGGGGUGUUGAUUGGUGGAAGCUCCCUGUCUAGUUCUAAUAGCGUUAGCUGGACCUCUUUGGGGAUGUCACAAGGGUCAGAGCACCAUGCCCAGAGAUCGAAAGACCUAGUGCGCUCUCUAUGCCUUGUGCGCUCUUGCACAUAGUGGAUUGCACAGCUCUUGCCCAAGGCCUUCGAAGCCACUUCUUCCCCCCAACAGUGAACCAGAAUCCAUUCAACCCGGACUUUAACUCUAAAUUCAAGGUUUGUUUUCCUAGCAUAGUUGUCCUCUGACCAAUCACCAAAAUGGAAAAUCCGGCCACGAUACGAGACCGAUCUCCUAUCUAGCGCCCAUAGCUUCGACCUUGGAUCCGGGAAGAUGAUAAAGAAUUGCUCAGGAAAGUGCUUGACUAGUUGAUACUGACCGUAGUGAAGGUUGAACUUCUCCCUCAGCAUGUCUCCUGCAGAUAAUGUGUCAACCUCAUGACUGUUGCCGUCGAAGGAGCAAACUACAGCCUUGUCAAUCAGGUCGUCUCUGCGGCGACGGAUGGAGCCGGUCGCCGAGACCGAACAGAAGGCACGCGAUGUCCUUCCCCGAGGAUCUCUAGGGUAGCGAGCCUCCAUUCAUUGGCCUUCCUGAACAGCCUGGAGGAAGGAUUUCUUGUGUAUGAGGGGCAGUUGACUGAGCGGAGCCUUCCGGGGUUGCUCCUGGUACUUAUGGAGGUCGUCGGGCCAUAGCAGCAGCUCAUGGUAGGUAGAGCUCUUUGAUGGAUGCUCGGAUGGUUUAGGAUUAUAGCGAGCAACAUUGAAUGUCCCCUGGGAGCUUUUCUGGUUGCAGGACCUCGCCCGGUGUCCAAAUUGUAGGCAAUGCCAGCAGCGCGUAGGAGCCGAGCAGCAAAAAGCGAGAUGUUCUGGUGAGAGACAGUUGUAGCAUUUACCCUUGAGAUUCAAUUUGAAAAGACUGGUGCCCUUCAUGUCAAAUUGAUGUUUUUGCGGAGCUCUCUCAGGAGCCAUCAAGUUCUUGCGCCACCAGUACCGCGGCCUGACCACAGACCAACCCCCUUCGUUGACAUCCGGAGCAGCAAGAUAUGGCUGUCCAUUCAUACGCGACGCAACAUUGAGACCUUCAGCACGUCGAUGGGACAAAACGCUGCCUGAAUUCAAAGCCCGAUCCGCCUUGCAGGAAUGCUGGAAGCCCGACGAGCAGUCUGCUUCCCACUUGGCUUUUUUAGUCGCCAGGAUACUCGACAUUGAAGUCUGACGUUGUGGAUCUCCAUGUACCGCCUGCACUGGGCGUGAUUCUGCUGUGGUUCUUGAGAUUAGAUCCAAAUUGGUUGUUGAAUAAGAGCCAUCGCCGGUCGCGAUGGUGAAAGUCGCCUAGAGGGGGGUGAAUAGGGCGAAUCUGAAAUUUACAAACUUAAUCACAACUACAAGCUGAGUUAGCGUUAGAAAUAUAAACGAGUCCGAGAGAGAGGGCGCAAAACAAAUCACAAGCGAAUAAGGAGUGUGACACAUGGAUUUGUUUUACCGAGGUUCGGUUCACGCAAACCUACUCCCCGUUGGGGUGGUCACAAAGAUCGGGUCUCUUUCAACCCUUUCCCUCUCUCAAACGGUCCCUCGGACCGAGUGAGCUUCUCUUCUCAAUCAAACGGGAACCAAACUUCCCCGCAAGGACCACCACACAAUUGGUGUCUCUUGCCUUGGUUACAAUUGAGUUGAUCGCAAGAAAGAAUGAGAGAAAGAAGCAAUCAAAGUGCAAGAGCUCAAAUGAACACAACAAAUCUCUCUCACUAAUCACUAAAGCUUUGUGUGGAGUUGGGAGAGGAUUUGAUCUCUUUUGUGUGUCUUGUAUUGAAUGCUAGCUCUUGUAAGUAGUUGGAAGGUGGAAAACUUGGAUGCCUUGAAUGUGGGGGUGGUUGGGGUAUUUAUAGCCCCAACCACCAAACUUGACCGUUGGUGGAGGCUGCUGUCGAUGGGAGCACCGGACAGUCCGGUACGCCAGCCACGUCACCAGGCCGUUGGGUUCCGACCGUUGGAGCUCUGUCUUGUGGGCCCGCCUGGCUAUCCGGUGGUGCACCGGACAGGCCCUGUAGGCUGUCCGGUGUGCCACCCGCGCGUGCUCUGCUCCUCUGCGCGCGCAGGCACGCAUUUAAUACGUUGCAGUCGACCGUUGCGCGCGAAGUAGUCGUUGCUCCGCUGUCACACCGGACAGUCCGGUGUGCGCCGGACACUGUCCGGUGACUCACCAGACAGUCUGGUGAAUUAUAGCGGAGCAGAUUCCCGAAGCUGGCGAGUUCAGAGUUGCUCUCCCUUGGAGCACCGGACACUGUCCGGUGGUGCACCGGACAGUCCGGUGCGCCAGACCAGGGCACACUUCGGUUAUCCCUUGCUCUCUUUGUUGAACCCUUUUCUUGGUCUUUUUAUUGGCCUUUUGUGAACCUUUGGCACCUGUAGAACUUAUAGACUAGAGCAAACUAGUUAGUCCAAUUAUUUGUGUUGGGCAUAUCAACCACCAAAAUCAAUUAGGAAAUAGGUGUAAGCCUAAUUCCCUUUCAAUCUCCCCCUUUUUGGUGAUUGAUGCCAACACAAACCAAAGCAAAUAUAGAAGUGCAUAAUUGAACUAGUUUGCAUAAUUGUAAGUGCAAAGGUUACUUAGAAUUGAGCCAAUAUAAAUUUUCAUAAGAUACACAUGGAUUGUUUCUUUAUUUUUAACAUUUUGGACCACGCUUGCACCACAUGUUUUGUUUUUGCAAAUCCUUUUGUAAAUUCUUUUCAAAGUUCUUUUGCAAAUAGUCAAAGGUAAAUGAAUAAGAAUUUUGAGAAGCAUUUUCAAGAUUUGAAAUUUUCUCCCCCUGUUUCAAUUGCUUUUCCUUUGACUAAACAAAACUCCCCCUCAAUAAAUUCUCCUCUUAGUGUUCAAGAGGGUUUUAAGAUACCGAUUUUGAAGGUGCUACUUUCUCCCCCUUUUGAACAUAAUGAAAUACCAAUUUGAAAAUCAUGAGUUUUAAAAUUAGGUGGUGGUGCGGUCCUUUUGCUUUGGGCUAAUACUUUCUCCCCCUUUGGCAUGAAUCGCCAAAAACGGAUACUUUGAUUGAAAUAUAAGCCCUUUUAAACUACUUUCUUCCCUUUGGCAAACAAAAUAUGAGUGAAGAUUAUACCAAAGACGGAGAGAUGCUCGGAGCGACGGCGAAGGAUGAGUUAUGGAGUGGAGUGGAAGCCUUUGUCUUCGCCGAAGACUCCAAUUCCCUUUCAAUAUACCUAUGACUUGGUUUGAAAUUCACUUGAAAACACAUUAGUCAUAGCACAUGAAAGAGACAUGAUCAAAAGUAUAUUCAUGAGCUAUGUGUACAACACAUCAAAAGAAAUUCCUAGAAUCAAGAAUAUUUAGCUCAUGCCUAAGUUUGUUAAAAGUUUGUUCAUCAAGUGGCUUGGUAAAGAUAUCGGCUAAUUGAUCUUUAGUGUUAAUGUAUGCAAUCUCGAUAUCUCCCUUUUGUUGGUGAUCCCUUAAGAAGUGAUACCGAAUGGCUAUGUGUUUAGUGCGGCUAUGCUCAACGGGAUUAUCCGCCAUGCGGAUUGCACUCUCAUUAUCACAUAGAAGAGGAACUUUGGUUAAUUUGUAACCAUAGUCCCUAAGGGUUUGCCUCAUCCAAAGCAAUUGCGCGCAACAAUGGCCUGCGGCAAUGUACUCGGCUUCGGUGGUAGAAAGAGCUACAGAAUUUUACUUCUUUGAAGCCCAAGACACCAAGGAUCUUCCCAAGAACUGGCAAGUCCCGGAUGUGCUCUUUCUAUUAAUCUUACACCCUGCCCAAUCGGCAUCCGAAUAACCAAUUAAAUCAAAGGUGGAUCCCCUAGGAUACCAAAGCCCAAACUUAGGAGUAUAAACUAAAUAUCUCAAGAUUUGUUUUACGACCGUAAGGUGAGCUUCCUUAGGGUCGGCUUGGAAUCUUGCACACAUGCAUACGAAAAGCAUAAUAUCCGGCCGAGAUGCACAUAAGUAAAGUAAAGAGCCUAUCAUCGACCGGUAUACCUUUUGAUCGACGAAUUUACCUCCCGUGUCGAGGUCGAGAUGCCCAUUGGUUCCCAUGGGUGUUUUGAUGGGCUUGGCAUCCUUCAUCCCAAACUUGUUUAGAAUGUCUUGAAUAUACUUCGUUUGGCUAAUGAAGGUGCCCUCUUGGAGUUGCUUCACUUGAAAUCCUAAGAAGUAUUUCAACUCCCCCAUCAUCGACAUCUCGAAUUUCUGUGUCAUGAUCCUACUAAAUUCUUCACAUGUAGAUUCGUUAGUAGACCCAAAUAUAAUAUCAUCAACAUAAAUUUGGCAUACAAACAAAUCAUUGUCAAGAGUUUUAGUAAAUAAAGUAGGAUCGGCCUUUUCGACUUUGAAUCCAUUAGUGAUAAGAAAAUCUCUUAGGCAUUCAUACCAUGCUCUUGGGGCUUGCUUGAGUCCAUAAAGCGCCUUAGAGAGUUUAUACACAUGGUUAGGAUACUCACUAUCUUCAAAGCCGGGAGGUUGCUCAACAUAGACCUCUUCCUUGAUUGGUCCAUUGAGGAAGGCACUUUUCACGUCCAUUUGAUAAAGCUUAAAGCCAUGGUAAGUAGCAUAGGCAAGUAAUAUACGAAUUGACUCAAGCCUAGCUACGGGUGCAUAGGUUUCACCGAAAUCCAAACCUUUGACUUGUGAGUAUCCCUUGGUCACAAGUCAGGCUUUGUUCCUUGUCACCACACCAUGCUCAUCUUGCUUGUUGCGGAACACCCACUUGGUUCCUACAACAUUUUGAUUAGGACGUGGAACAAAAUGUCAUACCUCAUUCCUAGUGAAGUUGUUGAGCUCCUCUUGCAUCGCCACCACCCAAUCCGAAUCUUGUGGUGCUUCCUCUAUGUCACACCCGGUUUUAGAAGGCAAACCGAAUGAGAACCAUGUACGUGCCAGGAUCAGUUAUUCACGUACACAGCAGUUACAUAAUAUGGACAUCAUCACACAGUGCUCAAAAUAGUAUUAAUAAGGGAAAUAGUCGAUUACAUCAUACGUCUGAGACGUCCAUAUAGUUCUUACAAUAAAUCAAAGUGCGGAAAAGAAACAUAGAUAACCGCGGCCUUCACAGGCAGCCGACUGGGGGGUUGCCGCUAACCCACACCUAGAACUCGUCGUAGUCUUGGAACUCCUGGAAGUCUCCUUCCACAGCUUCAUCUUCGCCUGAGCAGUGGUUGCAAUGCUGACAACCUGGGGAUGGGGGGGGUUUGGUGUGUAGAGCAAGGGUGAGUACACAUCAACAUACUCAGCAAGUAUCCUGUUUGGCUGUAGUGGACUAGCUGUAUGUGGGGGAUAAGUCAAGCAGUUGCUUUUAGUUGGUCAGAUUAUUACUUACUAGUAGAAAGCCAAGUUUUAGCAUUAACCCAAGUUAUUAACCCAAACAUACUCCUUUCCAAACGGAAAGAGUACCACUUACCAGCAUCAUAGUCAUAACCGGAACCAUCGAUCUCAUAACCACCUGUACCAAAGUAUCUCUGAUCAAGUACCACUAAUCACUGGAGCUCCCUUGGCCGCUCAUAACCGUGAGCACGGCUGAUAUAUCAGUUUUUCAAACACUCUGCAGAGGUUGUGCACUUUACCCACAAGCCGUGAUUCCCAUUCUGCCCGGAGAGAGCUACUCCCCAUUGACCACUACCUAGGUGGCCUAGCAGGGCAUCACUACGUAGCCUUUACAAAGAUUCCCCGGGGCUAUAGCCACCCGUUAGGUUUCCUAAAUGCACCGCACUCCUCCCCAAGGGGCGAACCCAAACUUGGCAGAGCGAGCCGCAUACACCGAGCCCCAUUGACGGCACGACGGCUAAGUGAACUACACCCCGGAUCCUCUAAUUAUUCAGCUAAGGGCACCCCAUUCCACCCUCAUGGUUGCACUGUUUUCCCGGGCGGUCAUCCAUAGAACAGGUCCUUACGGAGAGGCACUCGAGAAACCGCUCGAGCCCCCUUGAUGACCACAAGUACAACAUCAUAAUAAGAGAAGGGAAAACAGCGUAUCAUAGAUAAUCUCAUCAUGUUCAUUGAUUAGAGUUUGAGCAAUAGCAUAAAGCUAAACAGUAAUAAUCCAACCCAAAUAGGUGAACAAGGACAUGGAUCACAAAAGCUAGUCAAUCCUUAGGCAUAAAUGUGUAAAGCGGGAGGUGAAUUAAAUAAUGAAUAGGACAUAGAUAGGUCAAAGGACACUUGCCUCCACCAACCGACUGCUGCUCAGGGGCUUCUCCUGCGAGUUCCUCGGGCUCUUCGACCGAAUCGUUCUCUAUGCGAUUGCAAGCAUACAUACAUUCAUCCAUUCAAAUUGGGAAACAAACAGUACAUCAUACAAGGGAACAAAUAAAGUGAAUAUGCAUCAGGUAUGACAUUCGAUAUCGCACUCAUUAUGGUUAGAAAGAAACGGGAAAAGGUCUCGCGGGAGGGGGGGGGUUAAAGCUUAUGCACUAAUGAUUAGUUACAAUUGGUUCUAACAAAAGAAUUCAGUUAUAUGCACUAAUGGAAACCUAGUCGUUUUUAGUUGAUCAAUAUUGGACUAGAUAAACAAUUGAUUAUAUGAAUUAACUAGUGUAACGAAAUUCUAAAUUAAGUUUCCUAUUUCAAUAAUAUGAACAAUGAUUAACCUACCUAAAAUAAAAUAAGUAACAGUAAUGAAAGAAAAUAAAAUAAAAAAAAUAAAGAAAAGGGGGGGGGGGCGGUUGAACCGGCCAGGGGCGGGGGCGGGGGGCGGCCGAGCCGGCGGCGCGCAGGGGCGGCCGAACCGGCGGGGGACGCGGGGCAGGGGGCGGCCGAGCCGGCCAGGGGGCGGCCGAGCUGGCGCGCAGGGGCGGCCGAGCCAGCCGGGGGCGGGGCAGGGCGCGCAGGGGCGGCGGCGGCCGAGCCGGCCAGGGGCGGCCGAGCUGGGCGGCGGGCGGUUGGGCCGGGGCAGGGGCGGCGGCGGCCGAACCGGGUGGGGGGAGAGGAGGGGAGAUGGGGAAGGGAGGAGAGGGGGAGGGGGACCUCACCGGGGACGGGGACGGGCGGCCGAGCGGCGGGGGCGGCCGAGCUGCAGGGGGCGGCGCUAGGGCAGGGGGCGGCGCUAGGGCAGGGGGCGGCGGUUGGGGUGGGGAAGAGAGAAUGAGGGAGAGGGAGAGGGAUUUUGGGGAAAUUGGGGGAAAAGGAGGGGGCGGCUGGGCCAAUGGGCCCAAAGGGGCGCGCGCGGGGGGCGGCUGGGCUGGCUGGGGGCGGCUGGGCCGGCCAGGGGCGGCCCACGGCGCGGGAGAGAGAAAAAGGGAGGGGAGAGAGAAAGAAAAAGAAAAGAAAGGAAAGGGUUUUUCUCCUUUUCGAAAUCCGAUCUUUCUAGAUGAAUGCACUUACAUCUCUAAGCAAUCAAAGAAUGCAUAGUUCGGCAUGGUGCAUCAAACAACAUAAAGUAAUUUAGGGUUUUUCUGUACACGGGAAAAUCCAAGCCAAACCCCGCUAUAACUUUGGAAAAGGUCAAGGUUUAGCGAGAGAACGAGAAAAGAAAAGAGUAACGCCUGAAUUUGGUGAGAGAAAAUAAGAAAAAAAAUUCUACCCCCAAAUUCAGGGCGUUACAAACCUAUCCCCCUUAAAAGAAUCUCGCCCUCGAGAUUCAGGGUUGGCUAGCAAAGAGCUCAGGGUAUUUAGCCAUCAGAUCAUCUUCACGCUCCCAGGUUGCUUCUUCCUCUGAGUGGUGAUUCCAUCUGACUUUGCACAUUCUGAUGGUCUUCCUUCGGGUGACUCGGUCUGCAAUCUCAAGGAUUUGGACUGGCUUCUCAACGUAGGUCAAGUCCUCCUGGACUUCAAGACCUUCCACUGGCAACUGCUCUUCUGGCACACGCAAGCACUUCUUCAACUGAGACACAUGAAAGACAUCAUGCACAGUAGACAAAUUCUCUGGCAAACUGAGCUGAUAGGCCACUUCUCCACGUCUUGCAAGAAUCUGAUACGGACCAAUGUAGCGGGGUGCUAGCUUGCCUUUCACUCCGAAUCUUCUGACUCCUCUGAUCGGUGACACUUUCAGAUAAACAAAGUCUCCGACUUCGAAACUCAGCUCUCUUCUUCUUGUGUCUGCAUAGCUUCGCUGCCUCGAUUGCGCUAUCUUCAGAUUCUCUUGAACCAUCUUGAUGUUCUCUUCGGCUUCAAGCAAAAUGUCUGGCCCAAACACUUGCUUUUCUCCAGGCUGAUCCCAUUGCAACGGAGUUCUACAACUCCUUCCAUAGAGCGCCUGAAAUGGUGACAUCUUCAAACUGGCCUGAUAACUGUUGUUAUAGGAAAACUCUGCAUAAGGCAAUCUCUUAUCCCAUCCGGACUGAUCUUGCAACGCACAGGCUCUCAGCAUAUCUUCAAGAAUUUGAUUGGUCCUUUCGGUCUGGCCAUCUGUCUGCGGAUGAUAAGCUGAACUGAAAUUCAGAUGCGUGCCCAAAGCUUCAUGCAACUGCCGCCCGAAAUGAGAGGUGAACUGCGUUCCUCUGUCUGACACUAUCUUCUUUGGCACACCAUGAAGACAAACGAUCCGAGACAUAUACAAUUCUGCCAAUACGGCACUGCUAUAGUUGGUCUUGACAGGUAUGAAGUGGGCUGACUUGGUCAAACGGUCCACUACUACCCAGAUGGAAUCGUAGCCGGCUCGAGUGCGAGGCAAUCCGACUAUGAAAUCCAUACCAAUUUCAUCCCAUUUCCACUGAGGGAUCUGCAACGGUUGCAACAAUCCGGCAGGUCUCUGGUGUUCUGCCUUAAUUCUUCGGCAACUAUCGCACAUAGCCACAUGCUCUGCGAUUUCCCUCUUCAUUCCGUACCACCAGAAUUUCUUCUUCAGAUCCUGAUACAUCUUCUCACUGCCAGGGUGAAUCGAAUAAGCUGUCUCAUGAGCUUCCUUGAGAAUCAACUCCCGAAUGGACUGGACAUUGGGAACACACAAGCGGUCUUUGAACCAUAUCACACCUUCUGCAUCUUCUCGAAAAUCUUUGCCUUUGCCAUCUAGAAUCAGUCGCCGGAUCUCACUGAUUUUCUCAUCAUUCUCCUGCGCUUCUUUGAUUUCGCGCUCCAAGGUAGGUUCCAACUCAACUGUGACUCCUCGCGAAUUGUUCAGAAAUCUGAGACUCAACCUGUCAAACUCCUUGGCCAACUCAUAAGGCAUCGGACGAGCAACCAUUAGAUUGACUUGACUCUUUCUGCUCAAAGCAUCUGCCACUAUGUUUGCUUUGCCUGGAUGGUAAUGAAUCUCCAACUCAUAAUCUUUGAUCAACUCUAACCAUCUUCGUUGCCUCAUAUUCAACUCGGACUGAGUGAAUAUGUACUUCAGACUCUUAUGGUCUGUGUAAACAUCGCAUUUAUGUCCAUACAAAUAGUGCCUCCAUGUCUUCAGUGCAUGAACCACUGCUGCCAACUCUAGAUCAUGGAUUGGGUAGUUCUUCUCAUGAACCUUCAACUGUCGGGACGAGUAAGCCACAACUCUUCCCUCUUGCAUCAACACACAUCCCAAACCUGUGUAACAAGCAUCACAAUACACCGAGAAGGGCUUGUGCACAUCAGGCAAGACUAGGACAGGCGCUGUAGUCAACUUCUCUUUCAGCGCUUCGAAGGCCUCUUGGCAUUUCUGGGUCCACUUGAACUCAACUUUGUUUCCUAGCAACGCUGUCAUGGGUUUCGCGAUCUUCGAAAACCCUUCAAUGAAUCGCCGAUAAUAUCCGGCCAUUCCAAUGAAGCUCUUGAUUCCUCGGGCAUCUGUUGGCGCUUUCCAGUUCAGAAUGUCUGCCACUUUCUUCGGAUCCACAGCCAAUCCUUCUUUGUUGAUUAUGUGACCCAAGAACAGGACUUCACUGAUCCAGAACUCACACUUGCUCAACUUUGCAUACAACUGGUGCUCUCGCAAUCUCUGCAAUGCCAUCUUCAAAUGAUCUGCGUGCUCUUCUUCGCUUUGAGAAUAAACCAGAAUGUCAUCAAUGAAUACCACCACAAACUUAUCAAGGUAAUCCAUGAAUACACUGUUCAUCAAGUUCAUGAAGAACGCUGGCGCAUUGGUCAAACCAAAAGACAUCACAGUGAACUCAUACAAACCAUACUUGGAAAUGAAUGCCGUCUUCGGAAUGUCCGAAGGUCGGAUCCUGAGCUGAUGAUAACCUGACCUCAGAUCAAUCUUGGAGAACACACUGGCUCCUCUCAACUGGUCGAACAGAUCUUCUAUUCUGGGCAAAGGAUACUUGUUCUUGAUCGUGACCUCAUUCAAAGCUCGAUAAUCGAUACACAUCCUUUUGGUGCCAUCUUUCUUCUCCACAAAUAGGACAGGGGCGGCCCAAGGCGAGGUGCUUGGCCGAAUGUAACCUUUCUCCGACAGCUCAUCAAUCUGCUCCUUAAGCUCAACCAACUCUGGUCCAGAUAUUCUGUAAGCUCUCUUGAAGAUGGGGGCGGUUCCAGGAAGAAGCUCUAUAGCAAACUCAACUUUCCGCUCUGGUGGCAUACCCGGUAAGUCCUUUGGAAACACAUCUGGGAACUCGGACACAACCUUGAUGCUCUCAAUUGGGUCUGCUUCACUGCUAUCAACAGCUAUCUGAUAACAACUUCCUUUCUUUGGCUCAGGUGGGACUAACUCAGUUACCACUUCCUCUCCUAGUGGGGACACCAACUUGAUUGUCCUUUUAUCACAACUGAUAACUGCCUGAUACUUAUCUAGCCAAUUCAUCCCUAGGAUGACAUCUAUUCCCUGAGUACCCAUUACUAUAAGGUUGGCGGGAAAUGCUAUCCCCCUUAUUUCCACACUUAUAUUCAAACAAAUGCUAUCGGCUCGAAUCCUACCACCGGCUGAGUCAAUUUGAAUGGGGGUUGACAUGGUAGUAAUUGGAAGAUUAUGUGCUUCUACCCAUGAUGCAGUAAUGAAAGAAUGCGUUGCUCCAGUAUCAAAUAACACUUCUGCAAUAUGGGAGUCGACUGGGAACAUACCUACUAUCAUGCCGGGGGUCUCCUGAACUGCUUCAGCUUCCAAGUGGUUCAGCCUUCCAUGAUUAUAGCGCGGUUGAGAGCGAUUGCCUGAGAAACGAGGACGAUUGCUGCUUCCAGGCUGGAGUCCACUGAUCUUGCGCUUACGAUCUUCCAUCUCCUUACGCUUUCUCUCUGUCAUGAUUGCUCUGUCAAUCAGGUGCUGGAAUGUCGGGAAGGUGUGAUUCAUCAGUUGGUACUGCAGAGGGUCAACCAAGCCUCUCAGGAAACGGUACUGUCGCUUGGCGUCGGUGUUGACAUCUUCAGGAGCAUAGCGAGACAAUUGCAGAAACUUGUCCCGGUACUCACUGACAGACAAUGGCCCUUGCUUGAGAGCCAGGAACUCCUCCUUCUUCACUGUCAUCAGACCUGCAGGAACAUGGUACUGACGAAAGCUACUUCUGAACUCUUCCCAGGUGAUGGCGUCAGGAUGGGCAUGGGUGGCGAGGUAAGACUCCCACCAUGAUUGGGCUGCUCCUCUCAACAGACGGGGACCAUACAGAACUUUCUCCCUGUCAUCGCACUGAGCGGUAUGCAACUCACGCUCCACAGUGCGCAGCCAAUCUUCAGCAUCCAUAGGGUCUGAAGAAUGAGCGAACGUUGGUGGAUGACCUCUCAUGAAUUCAACACGCUUGUCUCUGGGCAUUUGAGGCAUCUGAGGCUGGGGUGGGGCCUGCUGCUGCUGUUGCUACUGCUGCUGAAUGGCGGCCAAAGUCUGACCGAUGGCUUGAACUGCCUGAGUCUGCAUCAGAAACAUCUGCUCGAUCGACAUCGGGGGCGGGGGCGGCAGGUGCUGCUGCUGGGGCACCUCCUCCUGUUGAGCGGCUCGCUCCUGCUGAGCACGCCUUCCUCCUCUACGCCUGUUCUCUGACAUCUGCAGAAUGCAACCACACAUCAGAACUGAUCUGGCAAAUCUUGCAGCAUAAGAGAAGAGAGUAGAAUUCUUCAACAGCACUGAACAGAUGAGCAUCUUCACUGAUCUCCAACACAGACCACACAGCUUCUUAGAUAAAGAGGAGAGUGGAAUAAAAGGUUUCCCAACUAUAUAACUAACUCUAUUAACAUAAUAGGCAAACCAAAAUGCAGGGGAUACCCACACUCUGGUGACAGUCAUUACAAAGAUCCAAACCAAACAUAGUUCAUCAUGACAAACAUAAAUGCACAGGAUAUAGCAAACUACCCUGUCUAACUAAGACUAACUAAAGCGAGACUAACGCUAAGACUGAAGCUUCUAUGUAUAUAUUUCGUAUUAAUUACAAGAUCCAACUCUAACGAUCUAUGGUUCUAGAGUUAUCUUGGUCUUGCAGUCGGGAUUGCCAUAAGACUGGUGUCCACGCUGAGGUGAGCGGUACGGGUGCUGAGUCCCGACGGGAGCGGGGGAACCUCCGUCCAGAUGACGACGUUCCGCGCGCUCAGCCCGCAGCAGGGCGAUCUCAGCACGAGCCCUACUCAGCUCGUCUAAUGCAUGGUCCAGCUCCGUGUUUAGCACGGCGGCUAGGUUGACUGUGCUGCUCAACCUAGGAUUGCCCUCACCGACAGGUGAGACAAUCACGCCUCCUGUGCUGCCAGAUGGACGGCGGGGGUAAUACUUCAGGUCAAGACCGUCAGCUGCCCCACCGAAAACCGAGCAGUAGUGCGAAAGCGCACGCCGUGCAGCAUCUUGCAUGGCUGCCUCAGCUGAGUCCUGCUCAGAGAUAGAAUAGUGCUCUGAACAGGCCUCCGCACCUUGGAGACUGUUCUCCGGGCAGCGCACCAAGCAGGUUGCCUCCCAGCAGUCCGGGUAGACCCCGCGACUAUGCUGGUAGACCACACAGCGAUACUCGACGGACCAAGUAUGCCGGUCAAAUGCUCGACGUAGCAGGGUGUCGAGCGCAUCGUGGAAGUGACACCCGCGAGCAGCGUCGCGAGUGAUGGGACGAGCAACCCAUCCUUCCGGCUCAGGGUUAGCAGAGAAGUCGGUGUCGUGGCUCGAGCUGUCGUCGCCACCUCCGUCGUCUGGGUCUCCUCCAGCAGCUACUCCAGAAGCUGGGGCGCCCAGUGGUGGUGCAGGGUGCGGCUCCAGAGGAAGCACAGGGGAGCAGCUCCUCACAGACUCUAUCUCCUGGUGGAGCGAGAAGGAAGAGCCCUGCUGCUCCUGUCGUCGAUGUUCCUGCUCCUCACGCAGGCGGUGGUGUAGUCUCUCCAAGUGGCUGGACUGUCCGGCCAUGGGACGGCGAAGCGGACGCUCAGCAAGGCGGGAGGGUAAGAAGGGGAUGACUGACUUUCGUGCAGUGUGUCUAAGUCGAGCCAUCUACAAAAAGACAUCGCAAGCAAAAGGGUGAGAACAGAAUUAAUAUGACCAGCAAAUAAUGAAUCAUAAGUAGAUGAAGGAUUAGAAUAAAACAUGAUUUUCAGCAAGGUAUAAUAUAUAGUAGAACAUAGUUUUGGUCGGUAUGACCAACUUUUGAAGAGAUAUCAAAGUCAAGGCAGGGACAGAGGUCUAUAGUCCUUAGAACGACCAUUCUACUCUAGGUUAGCGGUCCUACAGUCAGCACGGCUUUGAUACCACUUAUGUCACACCCGGUUUUAGAAGGCAAACCGAAUGCGAACCAUGUACGUGCCAGGAUCAGUUAUUCACGUACACAGCAGUUACAUAAUAUGGACAUCAUCACACAGUGCUCAAAAUAGUAUUAAUAAGGGAAAUAGUCGAUUACAUCAUACGUCUGAGACGUCCAUAUAGUUCUUACAAUAAAUCAAAGUGCGGAAAAGAAACGUAGAUAACCGCGGCCUUCACAGGCAGCCGACUGGGGGGUUGCCGCUAACCCACACCUAGAACUCGUCGUAGUCUUGGAACUCCUGGAAGUCUCCUUCCACAGCUUCAUCUUCGCCUGAGCAGUGGUUGCAAUGCUGACAACCUGGGGAUGGGGGGGUUUGGUGUGUAGAGCAAGGGUGAGUACACAUCAACAUACUCAGCAAGUAUCCUGUUUGGCUGUAGUGGACUAGCUGUAUGUGGGGGAUAAGUCAAGCAGUUGCUUUUAGUUGGUCAGAUUAUUACUUACUAGUAGAAAGCCAAGUUUUAGCAUUAACCCAAGUUAUUAACCCAAACGUACUCCUUUCCAAACGGAAAGAGUACCACUUACCAGCAUCAUAGUCAUAACCGGAACCAUCGAUCUCAUAACCACCUGUACCAAAGUAUCUCUGAUCAAGUACCACUAAUCACUGGAGCUCCCUUGGCCGCUCAUAACCGUGAGCACGGCUGAUAUAUCAGUUUUUCAAACACUCUGCAGAGGUUGUGCACUUUACCCACAAGCCGUGAUUCCCAUUCUGCCCGGAGAGAGCUACUCCCCAUUGACCACUACCUAGGUGGCCUAGCAGGGCAUCACUACGUAGCCUUUACAAAGAUUCCCCGGGGCUGUAGCCACCCGUUAGGUUUCCUAAAUGCACCGCACUCCUCCCCAAGGGGCGAACCCAAACUUGGCAGAGCGAGCCGCAUACACCGAGCCCCAUUGACGGCACGACGGCUAAGUGAACUACACCCCGGAUCCUCUAAUUAUUCAGCUAAGGGCACCCCAUUCCACCCUCAUGGUUGCACUGUUUUCCCGGGCGGUCAUCCAUAGAACAGGUCCUUACGGAGAGGCACUCGAGAAACCGCUCGAGCCCCCUUGAUGACCACAAGUACAACAUCAUAAUAAGAGAAGGGAAAACAGCGUAUCAUAGAUAAUCUCAUCAUGUUCAUUGAUUAGAGUUUGAGCAAUAGCAUAAAGCUAAACAGUAAUAAUCCAACCCAAAUAGGUGAACAAGGACAUGGAUCACAAAAGCUAGUCAAUCCUUAGGCAUAAAUGUGUAAAGCGGGAGGUGAAUUAAAUAAUGAAUAGGACAUAGAUAGGUCAAAGGACACUUGCCUCCACCAACCAACUGCUGCUCAGGGGCUUCUCCUGCGAGUUCCUCGGGCUCUUCGACCGAAUCGUUCUCUAUGCGAUUGCAAGCAUACAUACAUUCAUCCAUUCAAAUUGGGAAACAAACAGUACAUCAUACAAGGGAACAAAUAAAGUGAAUAUGCAUCAGGUAUGACAUUCGAUAUCGCACUCAUUAUGGUUAGAAAGAAAUGGGAAAAGGUCUCGCGGGAGGGGGGGGUUAAAGCUUAUGCACUAAUGAUUAGUUACAAUUGGUUCUAACAAAAGAAUUCAGUUAUAUGCACUAAUGGAAACCUAGUCGUUUUUAGUUGAUCAACAUUGGACUAGAUAAACAAUUGAUUAUAUGAAUUAACUAGUGUAACGAAAUUCUAAAUUAAGUUUCCUAUUUCAAUAAUAUGAACAAUGAUUAACCUACCUAAAAUAAAAUAAGUAACAGUAAUGAAAGAAAAUAAAAUAAAAUAAAAAUAAAGAAAAAGGGGGGGGGGGCGGUUGAACCGGCCAGGGGGCGAGGGCGGGGGGCGGCCGAGCCGGCGGCGCGCAGGGGCGGCUGGGCAGGGGCGGCCGAACCGGCGGGGGCGCGGGGCAGGGGGCGGCCGAGCCGGCCAGGGGGCGGCCGAGCUGGCGCGCAGGGGCGGCGGCGGCCGAGCCGGCCAGGGGCGGCCGAGCUGGGCGGCGGGCGGUUGGGCCGGGGCAGGGGCGGCGGCGGCCGAACCGGGUGGGGGGAGAGGAGGGGAGAUGGGGAAGGGAGGAGAGGGGGAGGGGGACCUCACCGGGGACGGGGACGGGCGGCCGAGCGGCGGGGGCGGCCGAGCUGCAGGGGGCGGCGCUAGGGCAGGGGGCGGCGGUUGGGGUGGGGAAGAGAGAAUGAGGGAGAGGGAGAGGGAUUUUGGGGAAAUUGGGGGAAAAGGAGGGGGCGGCUGGGCCAAUGGGCCCAAAGGGGCGCGCGCGGGGGGCGGCUGGGCUGGCUGGGGGCGGCUGGGCCGGCCAGGGGCGGCCCACGGCGCGGGAGAGAGAAAAAGGGAGGGGAGAGAGAAAGAAAAAGAAAAGAAAGGAAAGGGUUUUUCUCCUUUUCGAAAUCCGAUCUUUCUAGAUGAAUGCACUUACAUCUCUAAGCAAUCAAAGAAUGCAUAGUUCGGCAUGGUGCAUCAAACAACAUAAAGUAAUUUAGGGUUUUUCUGUACACGGGAAAAUCCAAGCCAAACCCCGCUAUAACUUUGGAAAAGGUCAAGGUUUAGCGAGAGAACGAGAAAAGAAAAGAGUAACGCCUGAAUUUGGUGAGAGAAAAGAAGAAAAAAAAUUCUACCCCCAAAUUCAGGGCGUUACACUCUACCCUAUGUGGCUCAAUAGAGGAAACAAAAGAGUAAUGCUCACAAAAAUGUGCAACACGAGAUCUAGUGGUUACCCCCUUAUGAAUGUCGUCGAGGAUGGUGUCGACGGGGUGAUCUCGUUGGAUUGCUUGGUGGACUCUUGGGUGUGGCGGUCUUUGUUCUUCAUCUUCCUUGUCUUGAUCAUUUGCAUCUCCCCCUUGAUCAUUGUCGUCAUCUUGAGGUGGCUCAUCUUCUUUAUCUUCUCCUUCAUCAACUUGAGCCUCAUCCUCAUUUUGAGUUGGUGGAGAUGCUUGCGUGGAGGAGGAUGGUUGAUCUUAUCCAUUUGGAGGCUCUUCGGAUUCCUUAGGACACACAUCCCCAAUGGACAUGUUUCUUAGCGCGACACAUGGAGCCUCUUCACCUAUCUCAUCAAGAUCAACUUGCUCUACUUGAGAGCCGUUAGUCUCAUCAAACACAAUGUCACAAGAAACUUCAACUAGUCCUGAGGACUUGUUAAAGACUCUAUAUGCCCUUGUGUUUGAAUCAUAUCCUAGUAAAAAGCCUUCUACAGUCUUAGGAGCAAAUUUAGAUUUUCUACCUCUUUUAACAAGAAUAAAGCAUUUGCUACCAAAGACUCUAAAAUAUGAAAUAUUGGGCUUUUUACCGGUAAGGAGUUCAUAUGAUGUCUUCUUGAGGAUUCGAUGUAGAUACAACCGGUUGAUGGCGUAGGAGGCGGUGUUGACCGCUUCGGCCCAAAACCGAUCCGAAGUUUUGUACUCAUCAAGCAUGGUUCUUGCCAUGUCCAAUAGAGUUCUAUUCUUCCUCUCCACUACACCAUUUUGUUGUGGGGUGUAGGGAGAAGAGAACUCAUGCUUGAUGCCCUCCUCCUCAAGGAAGCCUUCUAUUUGUGAGUUCUUGAACUCCGACCCGUUGUCGCUUCUAAUUUUCUUGAUCCUUAAGCCGAACUCAUUUUGAGCCCGUCUCAAGAAUCCCUUUAAUGUCUCUUGGGUAUGAGAUUAUUCCUGCAAAAAGAACACCCAAGUGAAGCGAGAAUAAUCAUCCACAAUAACUAGACAGUACUUACUCCCGCCGAUGCUUAUGUAAGCGAUCGGGCCGAAUAGAUCCAUGUGUAGGAGCUCGAGUGGCCUGUCAGUCGUCAUGAUGUUCUUAUGUGGAUGAUGAACACCAACUUGCUUCCCUGCUUGGCAUGCGCUACAAAUCCUGUCUUUCUCAAAAUGAACAUUUGUUAAUCCUAAAAUGUGCUCUCCCUUCAGAAGCUUAUGAAGAUUCUUCAUCCCAACAUGGGCUAGUCGGCGAUGCCAGAGCCAACCCAUGUUAGUCUUAGCAAUUAAGCAAGUGUCGAGUUCAGCUCUAUCAAAAUCUACCAAGUAUAGCUGACCCUCUAACACUCCCUUAAAUGCUAUUGAAUCAUCACUUCUUCUAAAGACAGUGACACCUACAUCAGUAAAAAGACAGUUGUAGCCCAUUUGACAUAAUUGUGAAACGGAAAGCAAGUUAUAAUCUAAAGAAUCUACAAGAAAAACAUUGGAAAUUGAGUGGUCAGGAGAUAUAGCAAUUUUAUCCAAACCUUUGACCAAACCUUGGUUUCCAUCCCCGAAUGUGAUAGCUCGUUGGGGAUCUUGGUUUUUCUUAUAGGAGGAGAACAUCUUCUUCUCCCCUGUCAUGUGGUUUGUGCACCCGCUAUCGAUGAUCCAACUUGAGCCUCCAGAUGCAUAAACCUACAAAACAAGUUUAGUUCUUGACUUUAGGUACCCAAAUGGUUUUGGGUCCUUUGGCAUUAGAUACAAGAACUUUGGGUACCCAAACACAAGUCUUUGAUCCCUUGUGUUUGCCCCCAACAUAUUUGGCAACUACCUUGCCGGAUUUGUUAGUUAAAACAUAAGAUGCAUCAAAAGUCUUAAAUGAAAUAUUAUGGUAAUUUGAUGCACUAGGAGUUUUCUUCUUAGGCAAUUUUGCAUGGGUUGAUUGCCUAGAACUAUAUGUCUCACCCUUAUACAUAAAAGCAUGAUUAGGGCCAGACUGAGACUUCCUAGAAUGAAUUCUCCUAAUUUUGCUCUCGGGAUAACCGGCAGGGUACAAAAUGUAACCCUCGUUAUCCUGAGGCAUGGGAGCCUUGCCCUUAACAAAAUUAGACAAUCUUAUAGGAGGGGCAUUAAGUUUGACGUUGUCUCCCUUUUGGAAGCCAAUGCCAUCCUUGAUGCCAGGGCGUCUCCCGCUAUAGAGCAUGCUUCUAGCAAAUUUAAAUUUUUCAUUUUCUAAGUCAUGCUCAUUAAUUUUAGCAUUAAGUUGAGCUAUGUGAUCAUUUUGUUUCUUAAUUAAAGCUAGGGGAUCAUGGAUAACAUCAACAUUAAUGUCUCUACAUCUAGUACAAAUGGAAGUAUGCUCAACGGUAGAUGUAGAGGGUUUGCAAGAUUUUAAUUCUACAACCUUAGCAUGCAAUAUAUCAUUUUUACUUCUAAGGUCCGAAAUGGAAGCAUUGCAAACAUCUAAUUCUUUAGCCUUAGCAAGCAAUUUUUCAUUUUCGAUUCUAAGGUUAGCAAGAGAAAUGUUCAAUUCUUCAAUCUUAGCAAGCAAAUCAACAUUAUCAUUUCUAAGAUUGGUAAUUGAAACAUCACAAGCAUUUGAAUCAACCUUAGCAAUUAAAUUUGCAUUCUCAUUUCUAAGGUUGGCAAUGACAUCAUGGCAAGUGCUUAGCUCACUAGUUAAUUUUUCACAUUUUUCAACUUCUAGAGCGUAAGCAUUUUUAACCUUAACAUGCUUUUUGUUCUCUUUAAUAAGGAAGUCCUAUUGGGUGUCCAAGAGAUCAUCCUUCUCAUGAAUAGCACUAAUUAAUUUAUUUAAUUUUUCCUUUUGUUGCAUGUUUAGGUUGGCAAAAAGAAUGCGUAAGUUAUCCUCCUCAUUGCUAACAUUAUCCUCAUCACUAGAGGUUUCAUAUUUAGUGGAGGAUCUUGAUUUUACCUUCUUCCUUUUGCCGUCCUUUGCCAUGAGGCACUUGUGGCCGACGUUGGGGAAGAGAAGACCCUUGGUGAUGGCGAUGUUUGCGGCGUCCUCGUCGGAGGAGGAGUCGGUGGAGCUCUCGUCGGAGUCCCACUCCCGGCAAACAUGGGCAUCGCCGCCCUUCUUCUUGUAGUACCUCUUCUUCUCCUUUCUUCUCCCCUUCUUGUCGUCGCCCAUGUCACUAUCACUAGAUAAAGGACAUUUUGCAAUAAAAUGACCGGGCUUACCACAUUUGUAGCAAACUUUCUUGGAGCGGGGCUUGUAAUCUUUCCCCUCCUUUGCUUGAGGAUUUGGCGGAAGCUCUUGAUGAUGAGCGCCAUUUCCUCGUUGUCGAGCUUGGAGGCAUCGAUGGGUGUUCUACUCGAUGUAGACUCCUCCUUCUUCUCCUCCGUCGCCUUAAAUGCGACCGGUUGUGCUUCGGACGUGGAGGGGCCAUCAAGCUCAUUGAUCUUCUUUGAGCCUUUGAUCAUCAAUUCAAAGCUCACAAAAUUCCCAAUUACCUCCUUGGGAGUCAUUAGUGUAUAUCUAGGAUUGCCACAAAUUAAUUGAACUUGAGUAGGGUUGAGGAAAACAAGUGAUCUUAGAAUAACCUUAACCAUUUCGUGGUCAUCCCAUUUUUUGCUCCUGAGGUUGCGCACUUGGUUCACCAAGGUUUUGAGCCGGUUGUACAUGUCUUGUGGCUCCUCCCCUUGGCAAAGUCGGAAGCGACCGAGCUCCCCCUCGAUCGUCUCCCGCUUGGUGAUCUUGGUCACCUCGUCUCCUUCAUGCGCGGUCUUUAGCGUGUCCCAAAUCUCCUUAGCACCUUUCAACCCUUGCACCUUAUUAUACUCCUCUCGACUUAGAGAGGCGAGGAGUAUAGUUGAGGCUUGGGAGUUGAAGUGUUGGAUUUGGGCCACUUCGUCCUCAUCAUAAUCUUCAUCCCCUACGGAUGGUACCUGUACACCAAACUCAACAACAUCCCAUAUACUUUUGUGGAGUGAGGUUAGGUGAAAUUGCAUUAAAUCACUCCACCUAGCAUAAUCUUCACCAUCAAACGUUGGUGGUUUGCCUAAUGGGACGGAAAGUAAAGGCGUAUGUUUAGGAAUGCGAGGAUAGCGUAGGGGGAUCUUACUAAACUUCUUGCGCUCAUGGCGCUUAGAAGUUACGGAUGGCGUGUCGGAGCCGGAGGUGGAUGGCGAUGAGGUGUCGGUCUCGUAGUAGACUACCUUCCUCAUAUUCUUCUUUUUGUCACCGCUCCGUCGCGACUUGUGUGAAGGGGAUUCCUUUUCCUUCCCCUUCCCUUUGUUGUAGGACUCUCCCGAUGGAGCCUUCCCGUGGCUUGUAGCGGGCUUCUCGCUGGUCACCAUCUCCCUCUUGGCGUGAUCUCCCGACAUCACUUCGAGCGGUUAGGCUCUAAUGAAACACCGGUUCUGAUACCAAUUGAAAGUCGCCUAGAGGGGAAUGAAUAGGGCGAAUCUGAAAUUUACAAACUUAAUCACAACUACAAGCCGGGUUAGCGUUAGAAAUAUGAACGAGUCCGAGAGAGAUGGCGCAAAACAGCAAGCGAAUAAGGAGUGUGACACACAGAUUUGUUUUACCGAGGUUCGGUUCUCGCAAACCUACUCCCCGUUGGGGUGGUCACAAAGACCGGGUCUCUUUCAACCCUUUCCCUCUCUCAAACGGUCCCUCGGACCGAGUGAGCUUCUCUUCUCAAUCAAACGGGAACCAAACUUCCCCGCAAGGACCACCACACAAUUGGUGUCUCUUACCUUGGUUACAAUUGAGUUGAUCGCAAGAAAGAAUGAGAGAAAGAAGCAAUCAAAGCGCAAGAGCUCAAAUGAACACAACAAAUCUCUCUCACUAAUCACUAAAGCUUUGUGUGGAGUUGGGAGAGGAUUUGAUCUCUUUGGUGUGUCUUGUAUUGAAUGCUAGCUCUUGUAAGUAGUUGGAAGGUGGAAAACUUGGAUGCCUUGAAUGUGGGGGUGGUUGGGGUAUUUAUAGCCCCAACCACCAAACUUGACCGUUGGUGGAGGCUGCUGUCGAUGGGCGCACCGGACAGUCCGGUGCGCCACCGGACACUGUCCGGUGCGCCAGCCACGUCACCAGGCCGUUGGGUUCCGACCGUUGGAGCUCUGUCUUGUGGGCCCGCCUGGCUAUCCGGUGGUGCACCGGACAGGCCCUGUAGGCUGUCUGGUGUGCCACCCGCGCGUGCUCUGCUCCUCUGCGCGCGCAGGCACGCAUUUAAUACGUUGCAGUCGACCGUUGCGCGCGAAGUAGUCGUUGCUCCGCUGUCACACCGGACAGUCCGGUGUGCGCCGGACACUGUCCGGUGACUCACCAGACAGUCUGGUGAAUUAUAGCGGAGCGGAUUCCCGAAGCUGGCGAGUUCAGAGUUGCUCUCCCUUGGAGCACCGGACACUGUCCGGUGGUGCACCGGACACUGUCCGAUGGCCCACCGGACAGUCCGGUGCGCCAGACCAGGGCAGACUUCGGUUAUCCCUUGCUCUCUUUGUUGAACCGUUUUCUUGGUCUUUUUAUUGGCCUUUUGUGAACCUUUGGCACCUGUAGAACUUAUAGACUAGAGCAAACUAGUUAGUCCAAUUAUUUGUGUUGGGCAAUUCAACCACCAAAAUCAAUUAGGAAAUAGGUGUAAGCCUAAUUCCCUUUCAGACGGUCCAUUGCAGAUCCGACUGAGAAAUUAGAUCGCCCUUGCCUUGGGAGGGAAGAUCUUGAACUUGCUUGAAGAAGUCGUCUCUGAUCUGAGCCUGUGAGUGUAGGAGGACCUUCACCGAACUUAUCGGAUCCAGAGGAGGAGGUCUGGCCCUAAGACCGAGCCGCGAGGCCGCCGCGCGGGAGGCCGACCCGAGCCCGCCGCGGAGGGGAGCGCGAGCCCAGCGCGCGGCGGAAGGAGGGCCCCCCACGCCGGAAUCGGAUGACCAAGGGAUGUGGCGGCGCCAUUCGCCCUCAUCCUAACCCGGUGUAUAUAGUCACCUUAUGUGCAAUAUAACCUUCUUUUCCUCAUAAGUGUCAUCUUGACUGUCACCUUCACACAUAGAGGUAUCCCAGUCCCAUUGUUUAUUCUCCUCAAAAAUAACAUCUCUAUUGACCACAAGUCUUCUGGUGCUUGGAUCAAAUAGUCUAUACCCUUUUGUACCUGACUCGUACCCAAUGAACACGAUUCACUUAGAUCUGUCUGAUAAUUUGUUUAUGCCUGGACCGAGUUGUUUUACAUGUGCUAGACAGCCAAACACCCUUAGAUGAUUCACCUUGGGGUUUUUCCAUGCCAAGCCUCAAAAGGAGUUCUACUUUUGAGAGCUUUUGUGGGUGAUCUAUUCAAUAGAUACACUGCAGUUCUGACUGCCUCGCCCCAGAAAAUCAUGGGAACCUUCAUUGCUUUUAGUAAACACCUGGACAUCUCAACCACAGAUUGAUUCCUCCUCUCCACUACUCCAUUCUGCUGUGGUGAGUAAGGAGUGGUAGUGUAGUGCUUUACAUUUUGGUUACAGAAAUAUGUGAAGAGGUUUGAAGUGAACUCGCCCCCUCUGUCUGUCCUUAGCCCUUUCAGCCGCUUACCAGACUCAGUUUCUGCUCUCAGCUUUAGGUUUUUGAAGAAACCAAACGCCUGAUCUUUUGUCUGAAGCAUUUCCACCCACAUAUAUCUGCUAUGGUCAUCUACCACAAGUAGAAAAUAAGAUGCCCCCUAUGCUUUUCGGAGUGAUUUGCCCACAUAAAUCUGCAUGUACUUAUUCUAGACAGCUUUCAGCUCUGAAAUUUGAAGCUUGAGGAAAAGGUUUUCUGUGUUGUUUUCUAAGGACACAACCAUCACACAACUUUUCUAGUCUCUUCACUGUCGGCAUUCCCUCUAACAAACUUCUACCACUUAAAUCAUGUAAAGCCCUGAAAUUUAGGUGACCAAAUCUGGCAUGCCAUUUCCAGCCUACUUCUUCAGAGUUAGUCAGCAGACAGAUUGGUGAUGUCAGGCCAAAUCUAGUAGUGUAUAACAUGUUACCAGCCCUUUCAGCAACGAUUAAUAGUUUGCAUUCUUGAUCAUAAACACACAGUUUCCCAUUUUUUCUUCAUAUUUAAAGCCUUUUUCUUCUAACUGACCGAGACUAACAAUAUUGCACUUCAUCUUAGGAAUAUAAUACACAUCAGUCAAGACUUUAUGACCUCUACUCUGAUCUUGCAUAACCACCGAGCCCAUACCUUGAAUUAUGACUCGAGAGCCAUCACCUAGCCGAACUGUUCCCUGAACAUUUGAAUCAAUCGGUGUCAGCAUUGAUCUUGAACCUGUCAUAUGAUUGCUUGCACCUGUGUCUAGCACCCACAUAUCAUCAGACAUCGAGAUGGGUGUUAUGCCUUGAGAGAGAUGAACAUGUUGGCCGUGUCUGUGAACGACAUCAUAGGUCGCCAGCAUCAGUGCACCGGGGUGAUCAGCACCACCCACAACCACGUUUGCCUCUGGAGCUGGCACUUCCUUUUUACUCCCUUUCUUUGGGCGUUUGCAAUCUUCCGCCCAGUGACCAUAGAUGCCACAAUUUCGGCAUCGACCUUUUUGCCUCGGAGUUCCUUCAGAGGUUAAUUUUACCUGUCCAGAGUUGCUCCCUUCAUGUCACGACGACAUCUUGGUCUUGGGAAAAGAAACACUGGAGUUACCAUCGCCGUCGUGGUGACUACCACACAGAUGGUAUUUGUGCUUCUCCAGCCAUUCUUCCUCCGCUAGAAGGAGACGGCCUGUCUUAUCGACGAGGUGUUCGAUCUUGUCGUCGAAUCGAUCCUCCGCCGCACGCAGGCGCCCCACCAACUCAUCCACAGAGAGUUGUUUUUAAUCACAAAACAUCUCAAUUGUUACCACUACCUGGGUGAACCGUGCAGGGACCACGCAGAGAAAUUUCUUGACGACGCGAACAUCUUCCACGAUUUCGCCGAGUGCUCGGAGGUUGCCGACGAGGUUGGUGAUUCUCAUCCCGAAAUCCUCGACAGAUUCACCGUCUUUAAAUUUGAUAUUCUCAAAUUCUUGGAGAAAUUUCUGGGCGUUCACCUCCUUCACCCGAUCAAUGUCGAGCCGCACCAGUUUCACUGCCUCCCACGCCUCCUUCACGGUCGACCGAGCACCAAGCGUUUGCCACAUUUCCUUCGGUACUGAGCGCAGGAGCGCGCUCAUGGCUUGACGAUCUUGCGACCGCUUGGUGUUGAUUCCAUGAUCAAUCACACCCCAAAUCAACAUCGACCACUCGGCAUAAUUAUCGCGCAUGAGGAGAGGCCACUUCAGAGAGCUCUCUUUCACGCCAGCCCCGGAGGUCGAUGCAUCACUCAUGGUGAUCGACACUUGACGACGGGGAAUGACACGCUUCUUCUUUGGCGGUUCUUGUGGGGGACUCACCGACCCGUCGUAUUGCAUACAACCACGGCUCUGAUACCAGAAUGUUGGACCGGAUCGACGGCGAACAGCGCAAAGAACUCAGUGUAGUGCAGUGUCCCCGGAGCGCGAUCACCACGUCUGAACGGAAGAGAGGACACAGUUGUAUUUUCUGUUGCCGCAACUGCGCAACCUUGCAAAUGCAUUGAACUGGGAAUUAAAACACCGGGAUCCGUCUUCCCCGCUGCACUCAGCUGCUGCGAGACAUGCCGUAAUUUCAGCAACGUCCGCGACAUGCACGGCGAGCUAAGUCGCAGCGGAAAAAACACCCUUUGAAGCGGUCACGGCGAGGACUGAGUGCACUCGUCAGUCCGCCCAUGAUUCUACGCCAAAUUACAAAUAUGCACGCGCAAUCUAAAACAAACUAAGGCACCUACUAACAAUAUCCCUGACAAGAUUACAGUGAGGCUACUACAACAUGAAGCAGAUAUCGUCUCAUGAGAAGGAAGAAGGUUAUAUGUAGAGGAGAAUACAUGCCUUGUAGAUGUGAUAUCUGCCCAUGAUCGAUCUGCUAUGUUAUAUAUUCAGGAACCUUGAGAAUGCUUAGUUGAUGCACUAGCAUGCAUCUAGCGAUUACUUAUAAGAUUUCCAUGGGUUUUUUAUAAAAUGCUUACAAGAUGUACAUUGAGGAUUCUGAACUCGUCGAUUCAAGAACUGAGAAGAACAAAAAAAUGUCAACAAAAUAGCCGUUAGACGCGACUUCACAGUACAUAUCAAAAGUCAUAUGCGGUAUAAUAUUGUGUUUGUUAUCUAUAGGUUUUAAUCAAUUAUGUAUUAUAUUGUGUAGUGAUCCAAACAACUCAAGGGACACUAUUAUAGAUUCUACACAUAAGAGUACCUCAAAGGGUCCAAGAAAUUCAACAUGAGCUAUAGGAUGCUAAUGAUGGGAAAGGGGACAAGUCGACACCAAGUCCUGCACAAGAACCAUAGCAAACAUAUGUGGAUUUGUCAUGCACAAUUGUGUGUAUGAAAAAGGAGAUUACUUCAACCAUGACAGUGACUUCACGUGAGAUGAGAAGUACGAGAAGAUUAGAAACUAGGAGCCCCUAGAGUUAGGGGAUUACAACAUACCUGAAGCUUCACUGAAUAGAAAACAUUUGAAGUCUUAGUUUCUUAAUUAUUAUAUAUGUUAGUGUUUGAUGAUCGAUAAUCUUACUUCGGUGUUACCCAAAGUAUGGUUUGGUGGGCUUUGACGGAAACUCAAACUUGAUGGUGAAUUCAAGAUAACAAUUUAGAUAGAUUCAAGCCACUGAAUAGUUAAUACCAUCUGUCAUGUAUGUUAGAUUGUCUUGCAUUGGAUUACUUAUUAUAAGAUGUUACAAGGGGAGUACCCCAUCCUAUCUUCAUAGUAUAGAGGACAGACACAUAAUUCUAGUCCUAGUUAGCUAUGAUAUAAGUGUCUGCAUGUUGUUAGAAACACUGUCUUUUUUAUAGCCGACUAGGUCAGUUUGCUUGUCAUGAAAUCUAUGCCACCAUGUUCCAUGUCUUCCCAGCUGUUCAUGGGUCGACCCAUCUUAUUGUUAGGUAGUAAACCCUAUGGAAAACCAUUACGAUCUUGGCAUCUCAAGCCCACAAGCUCUUUAUGGUUGAACUUUGGCCCAUCUCUAGAUGUGUAUUAUCUAUUUCUAGUAUAUAUUAUAUGUGUUUAAUUUGUGAAAACGGAAUUCAAAUUCAAAAAAUGGUGAAAUCCUAUUUUAAUCUAAAAAUAACCAAUGGAGGUUGACAUAUCAAACAAGAUCGUCUCUGGUAAUGUUUUAAUAGAGGAGGGCAUCUUAGAGCUAUCACCUCCAUUAAAGUAUUAAUUGUGGUGGUUUCCAUAUUCUGCAUCCCUUCAUUAUUGGAUGUAACACAUACAAUUGGUAUAAGUUGAUUGUUGAUGUUAAUAUGGUUAAUGGAGGUGACUUGUCUAGGAUAAAUAUCAUGGGUACGAUGUGGAUCAAAAUCGACUGGUAAUGACAGAUUGAACACCAACACGUUCCGUUCGACCCUUAAAGGGUCGAGGAAAGGAUGCCCUUACUUGAGUCCUCGUUUUUUCCAACCCUCAACCCCCACUACUAAAAAAUCACCCUAAUGCCACAGCAGAUAUUGCAACAACAAUAUUUGUGUUGCAUUAGAUGUUAGUUAUUGCCACAACCUUUAAAAGUGGUUGCAAUAUAUGUAUCGUUUUGCCAUUUUUUGUGCAUUGCGAUAACCAUGACUUUUGUUGCAAGAGAAAGGUGUUAUUGCGACCACUAGAACAGUUGUUGCAAAAUUACUCUAGUGUCACACCGGAUAUUGCAACAGAAAUACAAUUGUAGCAUUAGGUGUUAGUUAUUGCCACAACCUUUAAAAGUGAUUGCAAUUUAUGCACCUUUUUUGCCACUUUUUUGUGCGUUGCAAUAAUCACAACUUUCAUUGCAAGAGAUAGAUGAUAUUGCUACCACUAACAGUUGUUGCAAAAUGUCCCUAGUGGCUCACCGGAUAUUGCAACAUUAGUAAAGUUGUAGCAUUACAUGUUAGUUAUUGCCACGAUCUUUAAAAGUGGUUGUAAUAUAUGCACCUUUUUGCCACUUUUUUGUGCGUUGCGAUAAUCAUGACUUUCGUUGCAAAAGAAAGAUGUUAUUUCUAUCACUAGAAAAGAUUUUGCAAAAGCACCGUAAUGCCACACCGGAUAUUGCGUUAACACUAAAUUUGUUGCAUUAUGUAUAGUUAUUGCCACAACCUUUAAAACUGGUUGAUAUAUAUGCACAUUCCAUGUUUUCUGAAAACCGCUCGACAAAUUUCCAUGUUUUCUGAAUGGCACAUUUACGUUUCAGAACUGUUAAGACGAACAUAACCAUUUUCUGAACAACACGUUUCAGCAAAUAAUCUAAAUGGCAUGUUUCAGAAAAACAUGAAGGCAAAUUCGUUGUUUGACAGCUAGACGAAAGAAAAAUGUUGCGAUUUUGAAUUUGUAUCAUAGAUCAAAUAGCAUAUGGCUAUCGUGGAUAGAAGACGAAAAAAAGUACUGGACCAAAUAGACCCAUCGCCCCUGCUGCCAGAACAAAACCAUUUUCUUCAGUGCUCCUACUGAUACACGCUAUUGAUACUGCUUGUUGUUGCUUUGGUUUUCUUUGAUAUUGCUGAUGGAGUGGUGGUGGUGCACUUAAUAGAAUGUUGAACGCUGCUGAUCUGAACUCUACUAUGUAAACCCAAACAGAAUGCUUGAGUGUUGCUGAACUCUGCUAUCUAAACCCAAACAAAAUGGUGUUCCAAAGGAUGAAAUGAGAUGUAUAACCAACAAUAGAAAAAAGAAUACAUCUUGUUGCCAUGAGUCACUUGUGUGGCACUAGUGUUUUGUUGCCAUGAAGCAUCUUGUGGUAACAAAGCCAUUUGCAACAAAUUCAAACAUGGCAUUAACACUUAUUACCAUAAAAUAUGUUGUGGCAAUACAGUUUUUGGCAACUAUUAUAAAUGUUGCAAUAUAAUUUAUUUGCAACAUAAUAGUUCAUUGUAACAACAAACAACUACAACACUUGAAUACGUUGCAAAGGAUGUAGUAAUUGCAACAGAACGUAAAAAUGUUGCUAUAGCCUAUUGCCACUCUAUUUUUUGCAGCAGCAGGCAACGACAGUUGUUCUAUCGCAAUUGGUGCCUAUUGCAACGAUUUAUAGUCUAUCACAACGAUUGCCCAUUGCAAGAAGGUGAUUUUUUAGUAGUGGUCUAUUGCCACAAAUCAUAUUGCAACAACACAAAUUUCAUUGCAAUAGCUAUGUGUUAUGGCCACAACUUCGAAAAAUGGUUGCGAUAUGUAGACUUUAUUGCCACAAUUUUUUUGUGUUGCAAUAGUUAUUAGUUUUUUGUAAGAGGUAGGUGUUAUGACCACAAUUUGCAAAACCAUUGCAAUAUAUUGAUCAAUGUUACCACGAGUUUCAUAUAGUUGCGAUAUAAUUAAAUUCCAUUGCACAACGGUGAUGCUUCUUGCCACAAAAUAAAAAUGGUUGCAAUAUAGUUACCUAUAUUGCCACAAAUAUCUUUUGUUGUUAUGGUCAUACUGUUCGUUGCAAAAUCAUGAAGUGUAUUGCAACAAAGAUCUAAAUGGAGGUAAUAUAUACUUAUUUUGUUGCAAAAGGUGUAAUGUCAUUGUUAAAAAUAAUCAUCAUAAUAUAUUUAGUUAUUUUAUUAACAAAAAAUGUAGUAGUCUAGUGGCAGAGUAGUUUGUUAUAAACAACAAGACUUGGGUUAUUCCCAAAUUUGGUAGUUUUUAUUUUUAGUCUUAUUUGAUCGAUGCAACUAAUAUGGAAUGCAACAUUUUGUUUUGUUGUGACAACUGGAGCUAUUGCAACGGUACUAAAAAUUGUUGACAUAAGCUUUUGUCACUCUGUUUUCUGCAACGAUUGGCAAGGAAAGUGGCAUUACGGCAAAUGGUAGAACUUGCCACGAUUUAUAGCUGUUUGCAACGAUUUUUCCCAUUGCAGGAGGGUGAUCUUUUAGUAGUGAAUCACUAUGAGACAAGACGACACAUAAUGGAUAUGGAGGUAUCACUACAAUACUAUGACAAAGGGAUUAAGAGUCAUCCACAGGAGUCAUAUGGUCGACCAGAAUUCUAGAGGACAAGGAACUACACGACAAGACUUGACCCUGGCUCGUCCCAUCCCCUCAGUCUGUAAUGAUCCCUCGUCUCGCCUUGGCCUAUAAAAGGAAGGGGAAGGCCAUGAUCUAGGACACAUGCAACAGUUAGCACAAGAAGUUGGCACACUUGUAACACAAGUAGCACUCGCUCGCAUACCAGAGACUUGGGAGCUUCUUCAUAUCUCGAUCAUUAGUAACCCCCUUUUGUAAACAUUAGUGCAUGGUAACGUGAAGUUACUCAACUAGACAUAGGGACAUUUGGCCCAAACUCAUAUAAACCUUUGUAUCCUCCUUGCAUACCAUCUACACCUAGACACACAAAGCACUUGGAUUACUAGUCGGUGAUUUCAAAACACCAACAGUUGGCGCGUCAGGUAGUGGGCCAUUUCAUGUCACGACACUUUCUUCAGCCAACAAAUGACAACCUUGAAGGUUGGCACAAUCAUUGUGACACCCCAGUGUCACCUAGAGUUUCUUCCUUGAGCUAACCCAAACUAUCAUCACAUGUAAACCUAAUGAAGGGAUAAACCUCAAAGAUGAGAACAAAGAUUUAUAAUGAGUCUUCUCAAACUCUCCUUAAUCUUGUCAUGAAUCUUAAGGAAGGAAAACUCUCAAACCCUAAUUAAUCCUAAGUAAACCAAUUAAGCAUAAAGGGUAAUUGGGAGAAAAUCUUGGGGGAAAAGUACAAAUUUUGGUAAAAACCAAAUUACAAAGUUUUAGUUCACCAAUUAACCAACAAAGCAUAGUAAAUAAGUUUUGCCAUUUGAAUUUUUCAAAAUCCCCAAACAACCCCUAAACUAAUGCACUUGGGGGAAAUUCAGAAAUUCAGAAAUAUGAAUUUCAGCCCCUUUCCAAAGAUCAAUUGCAUUCUCUAUUUUUCAAAACUCAAAACCAAAAAGUCCAAAUAUGAAAGUAGUGCCAAAUUUUCUUGAACAGCUCUGGAAAAAUUUGAACUCAAACCAAAUUCAUUUGGCACGGUUUUGGCACCGUUUGACCUCGGGACCGGGCAAUCUGACACUGGCACCUUGGUGACGCUACAACUCUCUGUCCCUAGCCUAAAGCCGCGCGACAUCCACACACAAAAUACAAAGCGCUGUCAGGGGAACAAAUCCUUCACAGCGAUCUUGCCCAAAUUCGCGAAGAUUUGCGCCCAAUCGGCGUUAGAACUCGGGCAGAAGCAACGGUUCCAUGUGUUCGACCGUGGAUGACACCCCCGGUUCACGCCCGUUCACGCACCCGCGCUCCUCAGUGCACGCCCGCGCGCGCUUGCCGGUCCACGACCGCCCGUGCACCGCGCCGUGCCUUUAAAGCAGCCCUGAGCCUCGGCCAUACCUCCCCGCGCGCUCACAAGUCCUGCCCGAGCCAAAGAUCGCCGAAAUUCGCCCCGAGCACGCCGCGCCACCGCCCGCCAAGCUUUCCGAGCCUCGGCCACCGUGGCCAGCCUCCCCCGGUCACUUCCAGGUCGCGCCAGCCGCUCGGUUAGCUCCGCCAAUAGCCCGUGGAGCUUCCCAAGCUCUUAGACCCAGCAGAACUUCACCGGAGGCCCGAGAUCGUCCUCGCCGGACUUCGGUCGCCCGCUGCCGAGCGUGGACCGAGCAAUCCAGUAAGCCAUUUUCAAAUUCCUUGCACCCACGUCCUCCUUAGGACUCAGUGAAGCUCUCUGACCCGUUUGAUUGAACUAUCGCGCUGUGAGUAGGCCGGAUUCCUCACCGCCGACGAGCAUCUCCGCCUGCGCACGUGGACCGGCCGACUCUGACCAUCCCCGACGACGACCCGCACAUCACCGUGAUCCUCGAGACCUCCCCUACGUCCUCGACCACCUCACCAGAGCAGCCUCGCCGCCGGUAAGCCCCUCCACCUCUUUCUUUCUCUGCGGCUACUGUUCCAUUAGGGAGGGACCGCGGGUUCGAUUUCCAGAAACCCUAGGGGGUUUUCUGCAGAGCCGUAGACUCGAAUGAAUAGUGCCCCGGGGACCUGUCUGUAAUUCCCUAGAGAUCUUUCGCCAGAGACCCCAGCGCAAAACAACUUUUCUUUAAACCAUUUCUAAUUAAUCUUUUAUUAUUCAGCAGAGGACUUAGGAAAUUCAUAACUUGAGAAAUAUUUAACCAAAAUUUGUCAAACUAAUUUUGUUGGAUUCUAAAUAUUAUGGACUAUCAAUUAAAAAUACUACAACCCAUGCUUUCUGUUUUAAAUUUAGAGUUUGAAAUUAAUUAGAGAAACUGACCAAACCUUAUUUAAUUAAAGAAAAUUUGUUAUGCUCUUGUGCUAGGCUUGAGAAAAUUUGUAGAUGUUCAAACCCCAAUUAGAUACUGUUUAAAAAUACUAGACACCCCAGUAUUGGAAGUUUACAUAUAGUUAUCCAAUAAAAGCCAUUUUUGCCAAAAACUUAAGAAAAUCAGAGAAGUAUUAGAAAAUAAGAAACAGUGAAUGCAAUUAUUUUUCCUAGCCUACUUAAGUAAAAGAGAACGUAGGAAAAAAAAGGACCCCUAGUCCAGAACAGAAUUAAGGUGAAAUGUUUUAUUUAGCAUUAUUUCAACUAGAAAACAAUUAUUGGAAUUAUGAAAACAAAUCCAAAAUUGUUAAUAAAAAUCCAGUGGACUUAUAAUCACUAGAACCCCACUACAAAAAUGAUAACCACCCCAGCUCAUCAUUUUAAGUAGGGUAAACAAAUAAAACUUGAUAUUGGAUUCUAUUCCAAAUAAAUCAUGAGCAACCCAAAAAUAAUGCAAUAAUGGGCAAAUAAAAUUAUACUAGAUCAAUGAUGAGAUAAGACACUAGAGAAAAAUUUAAAACCCAAUUGAAGGGUGCAAAUUAAUACCAUUGCCAAUACUUCAUGAAAAAGGCUAUUUAAUCCAAAUAAUUCCUACCACCUUUCCCUUAAGCAAAAAGAUGCCAAACUUCAAAAUGAUUGCUCUUGCACAAAGAAGAAUCUAGGAAAAAAUAGAAAUCUGUUGUUUGAUACUUUUCAAAUAUAGUGGUAGUAGAAAGCACCCCUUUGGCUAGAAACUUUAGAAAAUCAUAGCAAAAUAACUAAUAAGUAUAAAUGGCUAGCAAUUUGUACAAGGUCAUGUUAUAACAUCUAAAUGCCAGCACAAAUAUGUAUUAGAGAAUAACCCUCUUUUAAAAAGGAGCCAUAGUUCAAAACACCCCUCAUGCCCAAAUAUUUUAUAAUUUUAUCCAGAGAGAACUACUUACUUUUUAAACCCCAAAUUUUGAGACAGAGAAUUAUACACUAGUAAGAAGCCACUGUCAUUUUUUCAGAAUGUUUGGAAAUUUAUUAAUAUAACUUGUAGUUCAAACCCACUUUAAAAGCAUAAAGGAAAUAAGAAGAAGAAAGGAAAAUAAUAAACCUCGCUCCAAUAAGUUCAACUAGAAACCUUAUUAAGUUCUCACUAAGACAUUAAAAGGAAAUUAGUGGAACACCAAAAUAGACUUACCACUUAGCUUAACUAAGCUUGACCCUAAUUUGCCAAGUAUACCAUAAGAAUCUUUUGUAGCAAGAAUAAACUCUACCUGAUUUAAGUAGAUUAGUCACCGUUAAAGUUUGCUAAAUUACAUAUCAUAUCAUGCAUGUUUCUUACUCAUUGCAUUCAUUAGACUGCAAUCUAGCUGACGGAGAGUACGUGCUCAUCCCCGAGCAAGGAGUUGUCCACGAGGAAGACCAGGAGCAAGCUCCCGAGACUGCCAUCGAGGAUCUCCCCGCAGCCUCAGCAAUUGAAGGCAAGCCCCAGUUUUAUGCAUAAUCGUAUUUAUAUAUGUUACUUUACUACACUUAAUGUUUGUAGGCUUGUAAUGUGCACUUAAGUGUAGGAAUUGCUUGAAACCUAUAGUUGCAUGAACUUAGGAUCCCUUUUUGAGAUGAAUACUAGUAUGCUAGGUCGAGUAGCUGCUUGCUAAACAGGAUCUCGGUAGAAGUCGAGUGAUUUUUCUAGCACUCGCGCGAGGUCAGGAAUUGAUUGUAUUCAUCUUGAUAACGGGAUCUAUGAUGGUCCAUGGACUUGGAUCAGGGAGGAUGCCUUGUCCAUGAGACGGGAAAAUGAAUUAAGGACUAAUGUGUGGAUACCUGAGUCAAGCGUUUGAACGUACUAAGCACAUGUCGAGAAAUAUGGUAACCGAUAAACCUAGUACCUGAGUGAAGCCGGGCGCGGACUUUAUCCCUCACUUGUCCUGAGACUGGGUCUCCCAUGCUAGCUAUGGUGGGUACAAGUGCCGCCACUGCACGACGUCAGUCGGGGUCAGUGGAGCAUUGUAUGCCAAGGCGAUUAGCCCUGGCCGCAAACGGGGAAUCGAUGGGGAUGGUUGACAUGUGUGGGGGACGGAGUACCCUGACAUGUCGUGUGUUUAGGUUUACCUUGCAAGGAUAAAAACUCGAUUCGAAUUGUCUGCUUCUCGCAGCUAAUGAGACUGCUUGACCCCUUGUACUACAUUGAGUAAGAAGUGAAAUGAGGUUUACAUGAGAUAACUUGUUGAUUGUACUAAAUGCUUGUUACCAUGUAUGCUUAGAAAGAGCAAACUUAGUUAAUCUAAUGAUGCUAGAAAUUGAAAACCUAAAACUUGAUUUUAGAUACAGCUAGUGCUUUUGGCAAACCAAACCCCUCAGCCAAAUAGCUGCAUGGUCUAGAGGUAGGGGAGUAGUUUCCUCACACCGGGUAAGUCUAGCUGAGUAUUAGUAUACUCAGCCUUGCUUAUGGCAUAAUUUUGCAGGUACGCUUCAGGAUAUGGUUGAUGGUGUGACUUGGCCUAUCACCCUGCCACCGGGUUGGACGGUCGAGUGGGAUGCUGCUCUAGCGGGAGAGGAGCAAGAGGAGUAGUGGGCUAGGUCUUUCCCGAUUCCUCGCUACCAACGAUAUUGAUUAUCCGCUGCAUUUUAUUUUGUGUACUUUUAUUAGCUACGUGAAAAACUCCGAUCUAUGUAAUAAUUCAGUACUUUAAAUUGAGGUCUUCCUGUUUUAUUGUAUUUCUUCUGUGACUCACCUUCGUGUGAGAUUGUGGUAUUUGAUCCUGGUUAAGUGGCUUUAUCAGACUAGAUCUGAGGGACUGACGGGUUAUUCCGAUUUAAGUGUGUUAUGGCCCCUGAGGCGUGACUUAGGCACUUAAGUUGGAAUAAUUCGGGUGGUUCUGCCACAGCUGGUAUCAGAGCAAAUUCCACCACAGAGAAGGACAAUAAACCAUGAAUACCAAUUUUCAAAAUCUAAAACUUGCUUAGAAACUGAUAAGAAUCGUCAGGACUAGAACGCUAGACCUAGGACAAAAGGCCUUAGGGAUAGUGGGAGAAAUAGAUGGUUAAGUAAGUAGGCCCUGUGGGCCAGUACUUAGAUUUUUAAAGGACGCCUUAGGAGCACCUUUUAUUUUGGAGAGGAGCCGUUAUUCUUUCUAGCAUGCAUGCAUUAUAAAAUUUGAAGGAUUAAGAAUUAAAGAAGUAAAAAUUCGAGAGAACCUGCUUCUUUUCAAACCAUCCAGGCUCUUUAUUUUUCUUCCUUCCACCAUAAUCUUUACAUCUGAUACCCUUCCGCAGAUGAAUUCACCCACCCCCGCCAGCGGAGGAGACACUCGUUUCAGCUCUAACUUCCUCUCUCACGAUGGCUUUCCUUCCAUCUUGUGGGAAGUGCUUAACUCCACCGGUUACCCCACACCCCUUUGUACACGGUGCAGUUGUAUGAGGAGCAUCGGGUACCUCGUUACCGAGUCUGGCUGACCUUUGAGGCUCAUCCCCUUCAGCCGGGUUGGCGUUCUCUUGACUCCGAGACGAUUGGAUUCAGGGCGGACGACACCACUGAAGCGACAGCCAUGAAGACUCUGACGACUUUCUGUGGCUACCAUCCCCUGGAGAUGAUGAUGCACCCCUUGGGACUUUUCCCUGCUAAGAAGAAGGAUGACCCCAUGUGGUGUAACCGUGUGAACCACGUGAAAGAUGUGUGGGCAAUGUAUCCUGACUUGGUUGGGAGGGUCACUGUUCAGUGCAUGAGUGCGGUGUACCGCCUUCAGGCCCUGUAGAGCGACGCUAUGGCACAUCUUGCUAACAUCGCUCAAACCACCAAGCUCACCCUCGACAGCCGAGAGGAUUUUGUGGUUGACUUGUCCUCCGAGUUGGUGGAGAAGGAUCUACAGGUGGAAAGGUUGAGCCAACGCAUUACCACCUUGGAGCAGCAGGUGGAAAUCCGAGACAACACCAUUGAUGUCUUGGAGAACCAGCUCCACGAUGUGCAGCGGGAACUCGAAGAAGAUAAUGACCACCUGGACAUGCACCACUUAGAGAUGGAGGCCAAUGAAGCCAGAAGCGAGGGAGAAGAGGCUCCCGAGGAGUUAGGACCAGCCCCUGGUGCCAAUGGGACUACCUCCGCGAUGCCCCCUUCAUCCGCAUCUAGUGUCGCUUCCACCGCUCAGGGUUGAUCAGUCACUUUAACGUUUUAGGUGGAUAGAAACCUAUGCGAGCUUAGUUAAUGAUAGAUUUUGGAUUAGGCUUAUGGGUACUUUCCCCUAAUUGAUGUAACCCUUGAGAACUUUUGAGAUCUGUGGGAUGUUGUAACCAUGUUGUCUUCAUUCGAACUUAAUGUUAUGAUUAGGGCAAUUUUCUUUCCAUAUAAGAUGAUAACAUGUCAUUCGAAAAUGCGAGCUGGGAUAACAAUGGCGACAAUCUCUGUUUUCAGAUGGCAGCUAGGCAGCAUCGCGGGCAUAACGAGCAGGUUCCCCCGCCACCUCCCCCAGCUCCCACAGUGCAGGAGCUGAUGGCCCAGCAGAAUGAGAUUCUGCGACAGCUCUUGCAGCGCCAGCCCCACCCCCAACAGCAUGGUGGAGGCCAGCAUCAGCGACCUCUGGCAGCGGCAACCUACCAGGAGUUCCUGAGCACGUAGCCACCCUUGUUCACCAAGGUAGAGGAUCCAUUGGAUGCAGACGUGUGGCUUCGCGUCAUUGAGUCUAAGUUUCCCCUCCUCACAGGAGACUACCCUGAUGAUGCCAAGGCUCGCUUCGCCGCGCAGCAGCUUCGUGGCCCUGCUCGGACAUGGUGGGACCACUUCCGUGCUAUGCUCCCCGCUGAUCAUGAAGUGUCUUGGGAGGAAUUCAAGACGGCUUUCAAAGGGCACCACAUCCUAGCUGGAAUUCUUGAUCGCAAGCUGAAUGAGUUUCUGGCACUUAAUCAAGGAACCCGCACGAUCUUGCAGUAUGCUCAGGCCUUCAACGACAUGUGCCAGUAUGCAGGUUGUCAUGCUGAUUCUGAUGAGAAGAAGAGAGACCGCUUCCGCAGGGGUCUCAACACCAAGCUACGGGAACGUCUCAACACUGUCCGUGCUGAUAGCUUCAAUGAGUUGGUCAACCUGGCCAUCUCCCAAGAGGAUUGUAUUGUAGCUCACCGUUAGAGAAGAAGAGGAAGGCACCAAUGGCAGCACCAUCCGCUCAGGCCCAGAGGUUCAGGAUUGUUUCUCACAAUCAGAGCAGGGGAUUUCAGCAGCAGGCAGGCAGAUGGGUGAUCAGGCCACCUCAGCAGCAGCAGCCGGCACCCAACUGCUUUCCAGCUUUCGCCCUAAGGAACAAUCAGCCUCCGCAGUAGCAGUAGCAGUUCCGCCAGGGCAAUGGGAACAAGUGCUUCACUUGUAGAAAUGUGGGCCACUAUGCCAAGAACUGCCCCAGAAAUCAGAAGAGGCAGAUGCCAGCACCAAGUCAAGACAAGGGGAGGAAGCAGAAGGUACAAGUCAGACAAGGGAAGCUCAACUUCACUACUCUAGAGGAGUUACCCGAGGGAGCCCCCACCAUGACUGGUACCUUUUCAGUUUUUAAUCAAGCUGCUUUAAUUCUGUUUGAUUCUGGUGCAUCUCAUAGUUUCAUUAGCCAGAAGUUUAGUGCUAAAUGCCAAUUGCCCUUCUGUCAUACAAAAGGGUCAUUUAUGAUAGCCACACCUGGGGGUAAAACUGUAACCAACCAAUUAAUCCGAAGUGUGCCUAUUCAAUUGGGAAGCCACAUUAUCAAAACCACCCUUCUUGUUUUGGGUUUGGAAAAUGUGGAUAUUAUUCUGGGCACUAAUUGGAUGACCCUACACCAAGUAGUGCUUGAUGUUGCCAGCCGCAUCGUGGAAGUCAAUUCCCCGAUCUGCGGAAGUUUCACCAUGUUUUUGCCCAGUCAAGACUCUACUCAGUCGUGUGCUUUUGCGAUGACGGAGUUACCCUUGAAGAAGAUUCCAGUAGUCUGUGAGUAUGCAGAUGUCUUUCCUGAUGAAUUGCUAGGAAUGCCACCAGACCGGGACAUUGAAUUUGCCAUCGAGUUGCAACCGGGAAUGGCACCCAUGCCUUAUCGGAUGCCACCCGCUGAGUUGGCAGAAUUGAAGAAGCAAUUGCAAGAGUUGCUGGACAAGGGAUUUAUUCGCCCAAGUACUUCGCCUUGGGGAUGUCCAGCCUUGUUAGUAAAGAAGAAAGAUGAAAGCUUGAGGCUGUGUAUAGAUGACCGCCCCCUUAAUGCGGUGAUUAUCAAGAACAAGUAUCCCUUGCCUCGUAUUGAUGUUCUUUUUGAUCAAUUGGUCAGAGCCAAAGUGUUUUUCUAAGUUAGACAUUCGCUCCGGCUAUCAUCAGAUCAAGAUACGGGCAAGUGAUAUUCCGAGGACAGCUUUCUCAACCAGAUAUGGGCUGUAUGAAUUCUUGGUGAUGUCAUUUGGGCUGACUAAUGCACCAACAUAUUUUAUGUAUCUGAUGAAUUCUGUUUUCAUGCCUGAAUUGGACAAAUUCGUAGUGGUUUUCAUCGAUGACAUCUUGGUGUACUCAAAGAACGAAGAAGAACAUUCCGGGCAUUUGCAUGUAGUGCUUCAACGUCUGCGAGAGCACCGUCUUUAUGCCAAAUUGUCAAAAUGUGAUUUUUGGCUAAAGGAGAUCAAAUUUUUGGGUCACACUAUCUCUCAGGUAGGCAUAGCUGUUGAUCCUGAUAAGGUUCAAGAGGUGAUGAACUGGAAGCCACCCAUGACUGUCGUCAGAUUCAGAGUUUUCUGGGAUUAGCUGGUUAUUACCGAAGAUUCAUUCCGGAUUUCUCUCAAAUUGCGAAGCCCAUAACUGAGCUGUUGAAGAAAGAAGCCAAGUUUGUUUAGGGUCAGAAGUGCGAAGAUGCCUUCCAUGCAUUGAGGCAACAUCUGACCACAGCACCAGUGUUAGCGCAACCCGACAGCAGCAAGCCAUUUGAUGUGUAUUGUGAUGCCUCUGUCACUGGACUAGGUUGUGUCUUGAUGCAAGACAACCGAGUCAUUGCUUAUGCAUCAAGAUCACUCAGGCCUCAUGAGCAAAAUUAUCCUACUCAUGACUUGGAGUUAGCAGCGGUGGUUCAUACAUUAAAAAUGUGGAGGCACUAUUUUAUGGGAACCCACUGCAACAUCUUCACUGAUCAUAAGAGCCUUAAGUAUAUCUUUACUCAGGCUGAUCUCAACAUGUGGCAGAGAAGAUGGCUAGAGUUGAUCAAGGAUUAUGACCUGGAGGUACAUUAUCACCUAGGGAAGGCCAAUGUGGUAGCAGAUGCCUUGAGUCAGAAGUUGCAAUGUAACUGUGUUAUGAUGGAUUCUUGUAUUGACACCUUGUGUGAUGAGUUGAGCAAUAUGAAGAUUGAAGUAAUUCCUUCUGGUGCUUUGUCUCACAUUUCUGUUGAGCCAGCUUUGCAAAACCAUAUCAUCAUGGCCCAGCUCAGUGACAAGGGAGUGCAAAUUAUUAAGGAGAAUCUCCAUCAGAAGACCGAGCAGUAUAAAUGUUUCCGCCAAGAUGGAAAGGGUAUAUUAUGGUUUGAAAGCAGAUUGGUGGUUCCUAAAAACCAGGAUCUCAAGAAGAAAAUCUUGGAUGAGGCCCAUCUCUCCAAAUUCUCCAUGCAUCCAGGGAGCACCAAAAUGUACCAUGAUCUGAAGCCCUUGUAUUGGUGGACCAGAAUGAAGAGGGAGAAAGCCCGAUAUGUAUCGGAAUGUGACACCUGUCAGAGGAUAAAGGCAAGCCACUUGAAAUCAGCUCGAGCUUUGCAACCCCUGUCUAUACCUUCGUGGAAAUGGGAUGACAUCAGCAUGGAUUUCAUUGUGGGUCUGCCCAACACCUCUCGUCAUCAUGAUUCGAUUUGGGUUAUUGUGGACCAACUAACGAAAGUGGCACAUUUUCUCCCAGUGCACACCACUGAUAAGGCUCAAAAGUAUGCAGAGUUGUACAUUGACCGGAUCGUGUGUUUGCACGGAUUGCCCCGGACCAUUGUUUUUGACCGAGGAGCCCCAUUUGUUGCCAGAUUUUGGGAACAACUGCAAGAGUCCUUGGGAACCAAGGUAAUCAGAAGUUCAGCUUACCACCCACAGACUGAUGGUCAGAUCGAAAGGGUAAAUCAAAUUCUUGAAGAUAUGCUGAGGGCUUGUGCAAUCGAUUGUGGCAAGAACUGGGAUAAGAACCUCUCCUUGACAGAGUUUGCUUAUAACAACAGUUAUCAAUCCAACCUAAAGAUGGCACCCUUCGAAGCUCUAUGGGAGAAGAUGCAGAACACCACUCAAUUGGUCUCAGCCUGGAGAGAGAGAAGUUUUUGGACCUGACUUAGUGACUGAAGCCGAAAGGAAGGUCAAACUAAUCAGGAAGAAUCUAGAAGCUGCUCAGGACAGGCAAAAGAGUUACCAUGAUAAGAGAAGGAAACCUCUCCAGUUCGAGGUGGGAGAUUUCGUUUAUCUAAAAGUAUCAGCCACCAAGGGAGUGUAGAGGUUUCGGAUCAAAGGCAAGUUAGCCCCUCGCUACAUUGGACCUUAUGAGAUCAUAGAGGCAUGUGGACCCGUGGCAUACAAGUUGAAGUUACCUCCAAAAAUGUCUGCCAUCCACAAUGUGUUCCAUGUAUCUCAACUGAAAAAGUGUGUUCGAUUGCCGACUGAGAUCAUAGCGGAACCAGAAUUGGAGAUAGCGCCAGAUCUAUCGUACCAAGAGUACCCUUCCAUGAUUCUGGAUUGCAAAGAAAGAUCAACUCGGGCAAAAUCGAUCAAGAUGUAUAAGAUCCAAUGGAGUAAUCACUUAGAGGAAGAAGCUACUUGGGAGACUGAAGAAUUUCUGCGUUCCAACUUUCCUGAUUAUCUGCCUAAGGAAAUUGGUACGUAUUCAUGCCCAAUCCCUCCUCCUGCCCUUCGAAUCUAAAUUUCAGUAAUAUAAUCUUGAAUUGGAAAGAAUAAGUUAUAGAACAAAAUUCAAAAUGACUUCCUUCUGAAGUUGCAAAGAGAAUGACAUUCAAAGAGCAGUUUGCCUUAAUAAAGAAAGCAUCUACUUCGAGUAAGUCUCACCCUUCACUUCACCCCGGUAGGACUCCGGCCCGAAUCUUGGGACGAGAUUCCUUUAAGGGGGAAAGGUUGUGACACCCCAGUGUCACCUAGGGUUUCUUCCUUGAGCUAUCCCAAACUAUCAUCACAUGUAAACUUAAUGAAGGGAUAAACCUCAAAGAUGAGAACAAAGAUUUAUAAUGAGUCUUCUCAAACUCUCCUUAAUCUUGUCAUGAAUCUUAAGGAAGGAAAACUCUCAAACCCUAAUUAAUCCUAAGUAAACCAAUUAAGCAUAAAGGUAAUUGGGAGAAAAUCUUAGGGGAAAAGUACAAAUUUUGGUAAAAACCAAAUUACAAAGUUUUAGUUCACCAAUUAACCAACAAAGCAUAGUAAAGAAGUUUUGCCAUUUGAAUUUUUCAAAAUCCCCAAAACAGCCCCUAAACUAAUAACUUGGGGGAAAUUCAGAAAUUCAGAAAUCUGAAUUUCAGCCCCUUUCCAAAGAUCAAUUGUGUUCUCUGUUUUUCAAAACUCAAAACCGAAAAGUCCAAAUAUCAAAGUAGUGCCAAAUUUUCUUGAACACGCUCUGGAAAUUUUUGAACUCAAACCAAAUUCAUUUGGCACGGUUUUGGCACCGUUUGACCUCGGGACCAGGCAAUCUGACACUGGCACCUUCGUGACGCUACAACUCUCUGUCCCUAGCCUAAAACCGCGCGACGUCCACACACAAAAGACAAAGCGCUGUCAGGGGAACAAAUACUUCACAGCGAUCUUGCCCAAAUUUGCGAAGAUUUGUGCCCAAUCGGCGUUAGAACUCGGGCAGAAGCAACGGUUCCACGUGUUCGACCGUGGCUGACACCCCUGGUUCACGCCAGUUCGCACACCCGCGCUCCCCAGUGCACGCCCGCGCGCGCUCGCCGGUCCACGACCGCCCGUGCACCGCGCCAUGCCUAUAAAGCAGCCCCGAGCCUCGGCCAUACCUCCCCGCGCGCUCACAAGUCCUGCCCGAGCCAAAGAUCGCCGGAAUUCGCCCCGAGCAUGCCGCGCCACCGACCGCCAAGCUUUUCGAGCCUUAGCCACCGUGGCCAGCCUCCCCCGGUCACUUCCAGGCCAAGCCAGCUGCUCGGUUAGCUCCGCCAAUAGCCCGUGAAGCUUCCCAAGCUCUCAGACCCAGCAGAACUUCAUCGGAGGCCCGAGAUCGUCCUCGCCGGACUUCGGUCGCCCGCCACCGCGUGUGGACCGAGCAAUCCAGUAAGCCAUUUUCAAAUUCCUUGCACCCACGUCCUCCCUAGCACCCAGUGAAGGUCUCUGAACCGUUCGAUUGAACUAUCACGCCGUGAGUAGGCCGGAUUCCUCGCCGUCGACGAGCAUCUUCGCCUGCGCACGUGGACCGACCGACUCUGACCAUCCCCGACGGCGACCCGCACAUCGUCGUGAUCCUCAAGACCUCCCCUACGUCCUCGACCACCUCACCGGAGCAGCCUCGCCGCCGGUAAGCCCCUCCACCUCUUUCUUUCUCCGUGGCCACUGUUCCAUUAGGGAGGGACCGCAGGUUCGAUUUCCAGAAACCCUAUGGGGUUUUCUGCAGAGCCGUAGACUCGAAUGAAUAGUGCCCCGGGGACCUGUCUGUAAUUCCCUAGAGAUCUUUCGCAAGGGACCCCAUCGCAAAACUGCUUUUCUUUAAACCAUUUCUAAUUAAUCUUUUAUUAUUCAGCAGAGGACUUAGGAAAUUCAUAACUUGAGAAAUAUUUAACCAAAAUUUGUCAAACUAAUUUUGCUGGAUUCUAAAUAUUAUGGACUAUCAAUUAAAAAUACUGAAACCCAUGCUUUCUGUUUUAAAUUUAGAGUUUAAAAUUAAUUAGAGAAACUGACCAAACCUUAUUUAAUUAAAGAAAAUUUGUUAUGCUUCUGUUCUAGGCUUAAGAAAAUUUGUAGAUGUUCAAACCCCAAUUAGACACUGUUUAAAAAAUACUAGACACCCCAGUAUUGGAAGUUUAAGUAUAGUUAUCCAAUAAAAGCCAUUUUUGCCCAAAACUUAAGAAAAACAGAGAAGUAUUAGAAAAUAAGGAACAGUGAAUGCAAUUAUUUUUCCUAGCCUAUUUAAGUAAAAGAGAACCUAAGAAAAUUAAAAGGACCCCUAGUCCAGAACAGAAUUAAGGUGAAAUAUUUUAUUUAGCAUUAUUCCAACUAGAAAACAAUUAUUGGAAUUAUGAAAACAAACUCAAAAUUGUUAAUAAAAAUCCAGUGGACUUAUAACCACUAGAACACCACUACAAAAAUGAUAACCACCCCAGCCCAUCAUUUUAAGUAGGGUAAACAAAUAAAAUUUGAUAUUGGGUCCUAUUCCAAAUAAAUCAUGAGCAACCCAAAAAUAAACAAUAAUGGGCAAAUAAAAUUAUACUAGAUCAAUGAUGAGAUAAGCCACUAGAGAAAAAUUCAAAACCCAAUUGAAGGCUGCAAAUUAAUACCAUUGCCAAUACUUCAUGAAAAAGGCCAUUUAAUCCAAAUAAUUCCUACCACCUUUCCCUUAAGCAAAAAGAUGCCAAACUUCAGAAUGAUUGCUCUUGCACAAAGAAGAAGCUAGGAAAAAUCAGAAAUUUUUUGUUUGAUACUUUUCGAAUAUAGUGGUAGUAGAAAGCACCCCUUUGGCUAGAAACUUUAGAAAAUCAUAGCAAAAUAACUAAUAAGUAUAAAUGACUAGAAAUUUGUACAAGGUCAUGUUAUAACAUCUAAAUGCCAGAAAAAAUAUGUAUUAGAGAAUAACCCUCUGUUAAAAAAGAGCCAUAGUUCAAAACACCCCUCCUGCCCAAAUAUUUGAUAAUUCUAUCCAGCGAGAACGACUUACUUUUUAAACCCCAAAUUUUGAGACAGAGCAUUAUACACCAGUAAGAAACCACUGUAAUUUUUUCAGAAUUUUUGGAAAUUUAUUAAUAUAACUUGUAGUUUAAACUCACCUUAAAAGCAUAAAGCAAAUAAGAAGAAGAAAGGAAAAUAAUAAACCUCGCUCCAAUAAGUUCAACUAGAAACCUUAUUAAGUUCUCACUAAGACAUUAAAAGGAAAUCAGUGGAACACCAAAAUAGACAUACCACUUAGCUUAACUAAGCUUGACCCUAAUUUGCUAAGUAUACCACAAGAAUCUUUUGUAGCAAGAUUAAACUCUACCUGAUUUAAGUAGAUUAGUCACCAUCAAAGUUAAUUGCUAAAUUUCAUAUCAUAUCAUGCAUGUAUCUUACUCAUUGCAUUCAUUAGACUGCAAUCUAGCUGACGGAGAGUACGUGCUCAUCCCCGAGCAAGGAGAUGUCCACGAGGAAGACCAGGAGCAAGCUCCCGAGACUGCCAUCGAGGAUCUCCCCGUAGCCCCAGCUAUUGAAGGCAAGCCCCGGUUUUAUGCAUAACCGUAUUUAUAUAUGCUACUUUACUACACUUAAUGUUUGUAGGCUUGUAAUGUGCACUUAAGUGUAGGAAUUGCUUGAAACCUGUAGUUGCAUGAACUUAGGAUUCCUUUUUGAGAUGAAUACUAGUAUGCUAGGUCAAGUAGCUGCUUGCUAAAUAGGAUCUCGGUAGAAGUCGAGUGAUUUUUCUAGCACUCGCGCGAGGUCAGGAAUUGAUUGUAUUCAUCUUGAUAACGGGAUCUAUGAUGGUCCAUGGACUUGGAUCCAGGGAGGAUGCCUUGUCCAUGAGAUGGGAAAAGGAAUUAAGGACUAAUGUGUGGAUACCUGAGUCAAGCGUUUGAACGUACUAAGCACAUGUCGGGAAAUAUGGUAACCGGUAAACCUAGUACCUGAGUGAAGCCGGGCGCGGACUUUAUCCCUCACUUGUCCUGAGACUGGGUCUCCCAUGCUAGCUAUGGUGGGUACAAGUGCGGCCACUGCACGACGGCAGCCGGGGUCAGUGGAGCAUUGUAUGCCAAGGCGGUGAGCCCUGGCUGCGAACGGGGAAUCGAUGGGGACGGUUGACAUGUGUGGGGGACGGAGUACCCUGACAUGUCGUGUGUUUAGGUUUACCUUGCAAGGAUAAAAACUCGAUUCGAAUCGUCUGCUUCUCGCAGCUAAUGAGAAUGCUUGACCCCUUGUACUACAUUGAGUAAGAAGUGAAAUGAGGUUUACAUGAGAUAACUUGUUGAUUGUACUAAAUGCUUGUUACCAUGUAUGCUUAGAAAGAGCAAACUUAGUUAAUCUAAUGAUGCUAGAAAUUGAAAAGCUAAAACUUGAUUUUAGAUACAGCUAGUGCUUUUGGCAAACCAAACCCCUCAGCCAAACAGAUGCAUGGUCUAGAGGUAGAGGAGUAGUUUCCUCACACUUUGUAAGUCUAGCUGAGUAUUAGUAUACUCAGCCUUGCUUGUGGCAUAAUUUUGCAGGUACACUUCAGGAUAUGGUUGAUGGUGUGACUUGGCCUACCACCCUGCCACCGGGUUGGACGGUCGAGUGGGAUGCUGCUCCAGCGGGAGAGUAGCAAGAGGAGUAGUGGGCUAGGCCUUGCCCGAUUCCUCGCUACCAACAAUAUCGAUUAUCCGUUGCAUUUUAUUUUGUGAACUUUUAUUAGCUACGUGAAAAACUCCGAUCUAUGUAAUAAUUCAGUACUUUAAAUUGAGGUCUUCCUGUUUUAUUGUAUUUCUUCUCUGACUCACCUUCGUGUGAGAUUGUGGUAUUUGAUCCUGGUUAAGUGGCUUUAUCAGACUAGAUCUGAGGGACUGACGGGUUAUUCGGAUUUAAGUGUGUUACGGCCCCUGAGGCGUGACUUAGGCACUUAAGUUGGAAUAAUUCGGGUGGUUCUGCCACAAUCAUGUCCGUGUGAUAGGAUCCACAUGGUGGCAAAAUGUCCUGGGGUACCCGCGACAUGUGAUCCAUUCUAAGCACGAGUGGGCGCACUCAGGAACAACGUGAGAUGCUAUGCGUCUGCCAUCGCCAACGCGGCGAGCACUACGACAGCAGUGAGGACUGAAGCCCGAGCCCCUGACCACAUGGGGGUUGGGGCUUUCAAGUGGCCUCAUGGCAAGAUAGGGGGUGACAGGAUACCCAUCUAGGGCGUCCCUAGCCAUGCCAACACGCGUGCAAAGUGCAACAAAAAGAUUAAAAGGAGCAAAAGCAGGCGGAUACCCUGCUUGCAAUCGUCGCUUACCACAAAAAGGGUCAGUCGCCCACCAAAGAGACAACCCCGACUUCUUUGAAAAGAAGUUGGAACAACCCUGUCCAAACCUUGCUUUACCAAUCAAACAUUUGUAUAUAGACUGCAGUUUGACAAGGAAAUUCUUCUUUAGUGGACCGAGAAGAGGAGUGUUGCACGAGAUGUCAACCUUGACUGCGAGCGAUGUCGACAAGGAGGACAAGGAUUAGGGCUUCCAAGAAUUAGAUGGGAGCCUCAGAUCAACGACGACAACACCAGAUCACCAUGUACCUCUAUGUUCUUUCCUUUUCAUCAGAUGUACUGGGGUUGCCUUUCUAAAGGACAUGGAAAAUUGUCCUAUCUAUAUACCCUCCUACAAGAGAGUAACAUCGUCAACUGACUCGACCCCUCUUACUCGAGGGUUGUUAAGGGGAUGACUCCAUGAUGUGGCCUCUAAGCAUCGGACCUCACGAUCUUAGCAAAUAAGAAGGGUUAGGUCGGACCAAGUGUCUUAAACUCUCGGAACAAUUCCUAUCAACAGUCGAAAUCCUACAGUUACGUACUAAAGUAAACUCUUAUGUAUUUGUUGGCAUUUCGGACUCGGGGGGUCCGUAAGCCGACCAGUAAAUUUGUCGUUGCGUGCCCCUGCCUAGAUGGGUUGGCGCGAGAUGGAACACAAGGGGAAAGCACGGCUCGUGUUAUCUCGCACCAGGGGGGAUGUGCUCGUAGUAGGGGUUACAAGUGUUCGCGAGAGAGAGGGAGUGAGCCUGUUCGUUAGCUCGUCCUUCCCCCACGCGACCCCCCCCCCCGCAGGAAGGCCUUGAACCUUCCAUUUAUAGAUGCAAGGAGAGGGUCCAGGUGUACAAUGGGGGUGUAGCUAUGCGCUAACGUGUCUGGCAGAGAGGUGCCUGAGCCCUGUGUACAUGCCAACGUGGCUGUCGGAGAGGUGCUAGAGCCCUGUGUAUGUGAUAACGUGGCCGUCGGAGAAGUGCCUGAGCCCUAUAGAAGCGCAGCUGGCGGUGCUGCUGGGAUCCUGCUGAUGUCUCCUUGCUUCCGUAGGGGGCUGAGAACCACCGUCGUCAUGGAUGCACGCGGGGAGCCAUCAUUACCUAUUACCGGGACGAGCCAGAUGGGACGACGGUCUUGUUCCCUCGUAGCCUGAGCUAGCUAGGGGUAGGGUAAUGAUGUAUCCCCUGUGGCAUGGUCGGUCCGAGCCCAAGGUCGGGCGAGGCGGAGACUUCUCUUGAGGCCGAGGCCAGGGUCGGGCGAGGACGCGAUUCCUCCCGAGGCCGAGGCUAAGGCCGAGUCUUGGGGUCGGGCGAGGCGGAGACCUCCUCCCGAGGCCAAGGCCUAAGGUCGGGCGAGGCGGAGCUUCCUGUUGCGCCCGAGGCUGAACUUGCUGUUGUCAGCCUUGCCUGGGUGGCUGGCACAGCAGUCGGAGCGGGUUGAGCGGCGCUGUUUUCCUGUCAGAUCGGUCAGUGAAAGGGUGAAGUGACUGCGGUCACUUCGACCUAGCCGACUGAGGCGCGCGUGUCAGGAUAAGGUGUAAGGCGAUCCUCGCAUUGAAUGCACCUGCGAUACGGUCGGUUGGUGAGGCGAUUUGGCCAAGGUUGCUUCUCGACGAAGCCUGCCCGAGCUGGGUCUCGGGCGAGCCGAGGGUGCGCCCACUGCCUGAGGAGACCCUCGGGUGAGGCGUGAACUCGUCCGGGACUACUCUUCCUGCCCGAGGUCAGGCUCAGGCGAGGCGAGAUUGCGUCCUGUGGUAGACGAGGCCUUGACCUAAACCGCGCCCAUCAGUCUCUGGUGUUUGUGCUGAUGGUGCUUACCAGCCGUGUUUAGGAGUGUUGGGGGUACCCCUAAUUAUGGUACCCGACAGUAGCCCUCGAGCCUCAAAGGGAGUGUUGGUACUCGCUCGGAGAGUGGUUUGACUCCUCUGAGGUCUUAACGCUUUUCGUGAUGCUUCGGCCGGCAUGGUCAUUCCCUCAUGCGGCCUGGCCAUAGCCCGGGUGCAUGGUCAGGUUCUGAGUUUUAAGGCUGGUUUGUUGACGCUAUCAACAGUUUGGCCAUAGCCGGGUUGCGAGAGCAGCCCCCGAGCCUUUGCACGGAGUGAGAGGACGAUCAAGGACUAUCUCGACUUUUAUUAUACGCCCCUUCAUCGCCUUUCCGCAAGGAGGAAGGGGGGAAAGCGCCAUGUUGCCCUUGGAGGGCGCCGAACAUGGUGUCUCCAGUGAGUUGCUAACGAGUGAUCCGAGUGGACGCACGUGCCCCGUUCGAUAAGGGUCGGCUAGUGGCCCAGAGGCACGCUCCAAAAGUACCUGCAGGUGAUUUGCUGGACCCGGACCCAUUCGAUAGGGUCCGAGGGCUCGAUGCCUCCCUCUGAUGGAAUUCCAUUACAAAAUCGCUCCUGCUGGUCUCGGAAAUGUCCUAGGGUACCUCGGGAGCGUAGCCCGAGCCUCGGCCAUGUAACGGACGUACCCAGAGUCAUCCCUCGCUCUGCGUGCUCUGGGCGGCUGUGAAAGGGAAAUGUGCCCUUGGGCCAUUUCUAAGUAUUUUGGUGAUUGAGUGCCAACACAAGUGCUUAAAUGUGAAUUUAUGCCCAUGGAUGAACAAAGUGCAAAUCAUGAGUAAAGGUAUGUUUCUAAGCCUUAGUACAUUGGUUUUGUGUACUAAUAUACUUGUCUAAGUGUUAGAAACAGAAAGAAGAAGAAAAGAAAAGAGGUGCAAAAAGCUUGGCUGUGUACAGCCAAGACUUAGCUCUGUCUGGCACACCGGACUGUCCGGUGGUGCACCGGACAGUGUCCGGUGCGCCAGGCUGACUCGGCGUGAAGUGGCCGCUCUCGGGAAUUCGCCGACGGCGUACGGCUAAAAUUCACCGGACUGUCCGGUGUGCACCGGACUGUCCGGUGAGCCAACGGUCGGCCGAGCCAACGGUCGGCAGCGGAAUCUGCGCGUGACACGUGGCCGGGCCAACGGUCGGAAGAGGGCACCGGACUGUCCGGUGUGCACCGGACAUGUCCGGUGCGCCAACGGCUCCCAGAUCUGCAACGGUCGGCUGCGCCAUUUUAGGAAGGAGAUCGGGCACCGGACAGUGUCCGGUGUGCACCAGACUGUCCGGUGCACCCGACGACAGAAAGCAAGAUUGGCCUUCCAGAUUUGCUCUCAACGGCUCCUAGCUGCCUUGGGGCUAUAAAAGGGACCCCUAGGCGCAUGGAGAAGAUAUCCAAGCAACCUUAGAGCAUUCUUGAUCAUCCACACUCAGUCUUUGCGCAUUCGUUUGUCAUUCUCAGUGAUUCGAGCUCCGUUCUAGUGAGAACUUUGAGAUAGUCCUUUGAGCUCGAUUCUUGGCCGUGUGUGUGCGCAUUUUGCUGUGGAUUUGUCUGUGUUGCUUCCCUUCCUUACUCCGUAUUUCUUUGUGAAUCUCAAGUGUAAGGGCGAGAGGCUCCAAGUUGUGGAGAUUCCUCGCAAACGGGAAAAGAUUAAAGUAAAGAAGAACACUGUGGUAUUCAAGUUGAUCAUUAGAUCACUUGAGAGGAGUUGAGUGCAACUCUCGUCCGUUGGGACGCCACAACGUGGAGUAGGCAAGUUUUGUACUUGGCCGAACCACGGGAUAACCACCGUGCCAUCUCUGUGAUUGAUUUCUUGUGGUUAUUGUGUUUUGACUCCUCUCUAGCCACUUGGCAAUUAUUGUGCUAACGAUUAACCAAGUUUUUGUGGCUUAAGUUUUCAAGUUUCACAGGAUCACCUAUUCACCCCCCCUCUAGGUGCUCUCAAUUGGUAUCAGAGCCGUUCUCUUCACAAAGGGACUAACCGCCCGAAGAGAUGGAUCCUAAAGGGAAGGGAAUCGUGAUCAACGACAAGGAGAAGGAGUCCUUCGUCAACGAGCCAAGGGAUGACAAGUCCAACGACUCAGGCUCGGGCCACAGACGCAAAGAUGGGAAGAAGAAGAAGACAAGGCGCAUCAAGGAGAUCGUCUACUACGACGACAGCGAUGAGUCUACUUCUUCCCAAAAGGACGACGACAACGACUACAGGAAGACGGUCAAUUCGAACUUUUCAUUUGAUUAUUCUCGUAUGCCACAUAGUUCGAAUUCGCAUUUGCUUUCCAUUCCUCUUGGCAAACCUCCACACUUCGAUGGGGAGGACUACGGAUUUUGGAGUCACAAAAUGUGUAGUCAUUUAUUCUCUCUCCAUCCAAGCAUAUGGGAGAUUGUAGAGAAUGGAAUGAAAUUUGAUAGCUCGGAUAGCCCUAUGCUUAUAAAUGAACAAAUCCAUAGAAAUGCACAAGCUACUACUGUUCUAUUAGCAUCCUUGUGCAGGGAAGAGUACAAUAAGGUGAGCGGCUUGGACAAUGCCAAGCAGAUAUGGGACACCCUCAAGAUCUCUCACGAGGGGAACGACAUCACCAUGCUUACUAAAAUGGAGUUGGUGGAGGGCGAACUUGGAAGAUUUGCGAUGAUAAGGGGCGAGGAGCCAACUCAAACAUACAACCGGCUCAAGACCCUUAUCAACAAAAUAAGGAGCUAUGGAAGCACGCGAUGGACGGACCAUGACGUCGUCCGACUAUUACUAAGGUCCUUUACCAUUCUUGAUCCUCAUUUGGUGAAUAAUAUUCGUGAAAAUCCCAGGUACACCAAAAUGUCGCCCGAAGAAGUCCUAGGAAAAUUCGUCAGCGGGCGAAUGAUGAUUAAGGAAGCGAGGUACGUGGACGACGCCUUGAAUGGACCGAUCAACGAGCCGCAACCUCUUGCUCUCAAAGCAACAAGAAGCAAGGAGGCGCUACCUAGCAAGGUGGCACAAAUUGAGGCGGUCGGACUUAAUGAUGAAGAGAUGGCUCUCAUCAUCAAACGCUUCAAGACGGUGCUAAAGGGUCACAAGGGGCAGCCAAGCAAGACCAAGACAAAGGGGAAGCGCUCAUGCUUCAAGUGCGGUAAGAUUGGUCAUUUUAUCGCUAACUGCCCCGAUAAUGAUAGUGACCAGGAACAGGGAAACAAGAGGGAAAAGAAGAAGAAUUACAAGAAGACCAAGGGCGAGGCACAUCUUGGAAAGGAAUGGGAUUCGGAUUGCUCCUCUUCCGACUCCGACAACGAGGGACUCGCCGCCACCGCCUUCAACAAAUCAACCCUCUUCCCCAACGAGCGUCACACAUGCCUUAUGGCAAGGGAGAAGAAGGUAUGUACUCGGAACUCUACCUAUGCUUCUUCAAGUGAGGACGAAUCUAGUGAUGAGGAUGAAGUAGAUUACUCAUGUUUGUUUAAGGGCCUAGAUAGAACCAAGGUAGACAAAAUUAAUGAAUUGAUUGAUACCUUGAAUGAUAAGAAUAUGCUUUUAGAAAAGCAAGAGGAUUUGUUGUAUGAAGAACAUGAUAAAUUUGUAGAAGCUCAACGAUCUCAUGCUCUAGAAGUUAAAAGAAAUGAAAUGCUUUCUUGUGAAUUAUCUUCUUGCCAUGAGACAAUUUCUAAAUUAAGGAGCAUUAAUGAUGAUUUGAAUGCUAAGUUAGAGAUUGCUAGUAAAUCUACCUCUUGUGUAGAAAAUAUUGUAACGUGCACUAGAUGUAAAGAUAUUAACAUUGAUGCUUAUAGUGAACACCUAGCUUGCAUUUCUAAAUUAAAUGAAGAGGUAGCUAGUCUUAAUAUCCAACUUAAGACUAGCAAAAGUGAUUUUGAGAAACUAAAAUUUGCUAGGGAUGCCUACACGGUUGGUAGACACCCCUCAAUUAAGGAUGGGCUUGGCUUCAAGAGGGAAGUCAAGAACUUAACAAGCCAUAAGGCUCCCAUCUUCGCCAAGGAGAAAGGGAAGGCCCCUAUGGCUAGUAGUGCUAAAAAGAACUAUGACUUUUUGUAUCAUGAUAAGAGACAAUCUAGAAAUGCUUAUCGGAGUUAUAAUGCAUAUGAUGCUUUUGAUUCUCAUGCCAUGUUUGCUUCUAGUUCUUCCUAUGUGCAUGAUAGAAAUGUUAGUAGGAGAAAUGUUGUUCAUAAUAUGCCUAGGAGAAAUGUUGUUGAUGUUCCUAGGAAAGUAAAUGAACCUUCCACAAUAUAUCAUGCUUUAAAUGCUUCCUUUGCUAUUUGUAGAAAGGAUAGGAAGAUAGUUGCUAGAAAAUUAGCGGCAAGAUGCAAGGGAGACAAAACUUGCAUUUGGGUCCCUAAGGAUAUUUGUGCUAACCUUGUAGGACCCAACAUGAGUUGGGUACCUAAGACCCAAGCCUAAAUUUGCCUUGCAGGUUUAUGCAUCCGGGGGUUCAAGCUGGAUUAUCGACAGCGGAUGCACAAACCAUAUGACGGGGGAGAAGAUGUUCACCUCCUACGUCAAGAAUAAGGAUUCCCAAGAUUCAAUUAUAUUCGGUGAUGGGAAUCAAGGCAAGGUAAAAGGGUUAGGUAAAAUUGCAAUUUCUAAUGAGCACUCUAUCUCUAAUGUGUUUUUAGUAGAGUCUCUUGGAUAUAAUUUGCUAUCGGUUAGUCAAUUAUGCAAUAUGGGAUAUAACUGUCUAUUUACAAAUGUAGAUGUGUCUGUCUUUAGAAGAAGUGAUGGAUCACUAGCUUUUAAGGGUGUAUUAGACGGCAAACUUUAUUUAGUUGAUUUUGCAAAAGAAGAGGCCGGUCUAGAUGCAUGCUUAAUAGCUAAGACUAGCAUGGGCUGGCUGUGGCAUCGCCGCUUAGCACAUGUGGGGAUGAAGAACCUUCACAAGCUUCUAAAGGGAGAACACGUGAUAGGUUUGACUAACGUGCAAUUCGAAAAAGAUAGACCUUGUGCAGCUUGUCAAGCAGGUAAACAAGUGGGAGGAGCACAUCACAGCAAGAAUGUGAUGACCACCUCAAGACCGCUGGAGCUGCUGCAUAUGGACCUCUUCGGACCCGUCGCCUAUCUGAGCAUAGGAGGAAGUAAGUAUGGUCUAGUUAUUGUUGAUGACUUUUCCCGCUUCACUUGGGUGUUCUUUUUGCAGGAUAAGUCUGAAACCCAAGGGACCCUCAAGCGCUUCCUCAGGAGAGCUCAAAAUGAGUUUGAGCUCAAAGUGAAGAAGAUAAGGAGCGACAACGGGUCCGAGUUCAAGAACCUUCAAGUGGAGGAGUUCCUUGAGGAGGAAGGGAUCAAGCACGAGUUCUCCGCUCCCUACACACCACAGAAAAAUGGUGUGGUAGAGAGGAAGAACAUGACGCUAAUCGAUAUGGCGAGGACGAUGCUUGGAGAAUUCAAGACCCCCGAGCGUUUUUGGUCGGAAGCCGUGAACACGGCUUGCCACGCUAUCAACAGGGUCUACCUUCAUCGCCUCCUCAAGAAGACUUCAUAUGAGCUACUAACCGGUAACAAGCCCAAUGUAUCUUACUUUCGUGUAUUUGAGAGCAAGUGCUACAUUCUAGUGAAGAAGGGUAGAAAUUCUAAAUUCGCUCCCAAAGCUGUAGAAGGGUUUUUGUUAGGUUAUGAUUCAAAUACAAAGGCGUAUAGGGUCUUCAACAAAUCAUCUGGUUUGGUUGAAGUCUCUAGCGACGUUGUAUUUGAUGAGACUAAUGGCUCUCCAAGAGAGCAAGUUGUUGAUCUUGAUGAUGUAGAUGAAGAAGAUGUUCCAACGGCCGCGAUACGAACCAUGGCGAUUGGAGACGUUCGGCCACAGGAACAAGAUGAACGAGAUCAACCUUCUUCCUCAACUAUGGUGCAUCCCCCAACUCAAGACGAUGAACAGGUUCAUCAACAGGAGGCGUGUGAUCAAGGGGGAGCACAAGAUGAUCAUGUGAUGGAGGAAGAAGCGGAACCGGCACCUCCAACCCAAGUUCGAGCGAUGAUUCAAAGAGAUCAUCCCGUCGACCAAAUUCUGGGUGACAUUAGCAAGGGAGUAAAUACUCGGUCUCGAUUAGUUAAUUUUUGUGAACAUUACUCUUUUGUCUCUUCUAUUGAGCCUUUCAGGGUAGAGGAUGCCUUGCUAGAUCCGGAUUGGGUAUUGGCCAUGCAGGAGGAACUUAACAACUUCAAGCGCAAUGAAGUUUGGACACUGGUGCCUCGUCCCAAGCAAAAUAUUGUGGGAACCAAGUUGGUGUUCCGCAACAAACAGGACGAGCACGGGGUGGUGACUAGGAACAAGGCUCGACUUGUGGCAAAAGGUUAUGCCCAAGUCGCAGGUUUGGACUUUGAGGAGACUUUUGCUCCUGUGGCUAGGCUAGAAUCGAUUCGUAUCUUGCUAGCAUAUGCCGCUCACCAUUCUUUCAGGUUGUUCCAAAUGGAUGUGAAGAGCGCUUUCCUCAACAGGCCAAUAAAGGAGGAAGUGUACGUGGAGCAACCCCCUGGGUUCGAGGAUGAACGGUACCCCGACCACGUGUGUAAGCUCUCUAAGGCGCUCUAUGGACUUAAGCAAGCCCCAAGAGCAUGGUAUGAAUGCCUUAGAGAUUUCUUAAUUGCUAAUGCUUUCAAGGUUGGGAAAGCCGAUCCAACUCUUUUCACUAAGACAUGUGAUGGUGAUUUGUUUGUGUGCCAAAUUUAUGUCGAUGACAUAAUAUUUGGUUCUACUAAUAAAAAGUCUUGUGAAGAGUUUAGCAGGGUGAUGACGCAGAAAUUCGAGAUGUCAAUGAUGGGCGAGUUGAACUACUUCCUUGGGUUUCAAGUGAAGCAACUCAAGGACGACACCUUCAUCUCUCAAACGAAGUACACGCAAGAUCUGCUGAAGCGGUUUGGGAUGAAGGAUGCCAAGCCCGCAAAGACUCCGAUGGGGACCGACGGACACACCGACCUCAACAAAGGAGGUAAGUCCGUUGAUCAAAAGGCAUACUGGUCAAUGAUAGGGUCAUUACUUUACUUAUGUGCUAGUAGACCGGAUAUUAUGCUUAGCGUAUGCAUGUGUGCUAGAUUUCAAUCCGAUCCUAAGGAAUGUCACUUAGUGGCAGUGAAGCGAAUCCUUAGAUAUUUAGCUGCUACGCCUUGCUUCGGGCUCUGGUAUCCAAAGGGGUCUACCUUUGACUUGAUUGGAUAUUCAGACUCCGACUAUGCUGGAUGUAAGGUCGAUAGGAAGAGUACAUCGGGGACGUGCCAAUUCUUAGGAAGGUCCCUGGUGUCAUGGAACUCUAAGAAACAAACCUCUGUUGCCCUAUCCACCACUGAGGCCGAGUAUGUUGCCGCAGGACAGUGUUGCGCGCAACUACUUUGGAUGAGGCAAACCCUCAGGGACUUUGGCUACAAUCUGAGCAAAGUCCCACUCCUAUGUGAUAAUGAGAGUGCUAUCCGCAUGGCGGAAAAUCCUGUUGAGCACAGCCGCACAAAGCACAUAGACAUCCGGCAUCACUUUCUGAGAGACCACCAGCAAAAGGGAGAUAUCGAAGUGUUUCAUGUUAGCACCGAGAACCAGCUAGCCGAUAUCUUUACCAAGCCUCUAGAUGAGAAGACCUUUUGCAGGCUGCGUAGUGAGUUAAAUGUCUUAGAUUCGCGGAACUUGGAUUGAAUUGUAGCAUACAUGUGUUUAUGCCUUUGAUCAUGUUCAUUCUGCAUUUUUUUGCUUACUGUGGUGCUCAAGUUGUACAAACACUCCCUGGACCUCACAAGUCUGUUGCAAAGUGAUGCACAUGUUUAGGGGGAGAUGUGUUACAACUUGAACCUUUGAGACUAACCACGUGGGUGAGUUUGCUUGGUUUAGUCUCGAAGGAGAAUUGAAAGGGAAAAGGUGGACUUGGACCAUGAAAGACUUCCACUGCACUCCGAUGAGAGGGUAACUUAUUCCAAGUUCAUCUCAUGAAUUCUUAUUGCCAUUUGCUCUUAAUUGAAGAUUUUGGUGAGGCAAUGGGGUUAAAGGGCCAAGAUUGAUCCCGUUUUGGUGUUUGAUGCCAAAGGGGGAGAAAAUAAAGGCCAAAGCAAUAAAUGGAUCAGCUACCACUUGAGAGAUUUGAAAAUAGUAGAGUAGAGCUUUUGGUUUGUCAAAACUCUUUUAUUGUCUCUUUUGUCAAAAGUUGGCUUCUUGUGGGGAGAAGUAGUGAUUAUGGAAAAAAGGGGGAGUUUUUGAAAUCUUUGAUCAAUCUCUUUUGGAAUGACUCUCUUUAUGCUUCAACAUGUGUGUUUGACUUAGAGAUAGAGAUUUGAGUUUGAUUUGCAAAAACAAACCAAGUGGUGGCAAAGGAUGAUCCAUAUAUGCCAAAAAUGAAUCAAAAUAAAUUUGAGUUUUAUUUGAAGUGAUAUUGCACUUGUUCUAGUUGCUUUAUGUUGUGUUGGCAUAAAUCACCAAAAAGGGGGAGAUUGAAAGGGAAAUGUGCCCUUGGGCCAUUUCUAAGUAUUUUGGUGAUUGAGUGCCAACACAAGUGCUUAAAUGUGAAUUUAUGCCCAUGGAUGAACAAAGUGCAAAUCAUGAGUAAAGGUAUGUUUCUAAGCCUUAGUACAUUGGUUUUGUGUACUAAUAUACUUGUCUAAGUGUUAGAAACAGAAAGAAGAAGAAAAGAAAAGAGGUGCAAAAAGCUUGGCUGUGUACAGCCAAGACUCAGCUCUGUCUGGCACACCGGACUGUCCGGUGGUGCUCCGGACAGUGUCCGGUGCGCCAGGCUGACUCGGCGUGAAGUGGCCGCUCUCGGGAAUUCGCCGACGGCGUACGGCUAAAAUUCACCGGACUGUCCGGUGUGCACCGGACUGUCCGGUGAGCCAACGGUCGGCCGAGCCAACGGUCGGCAGCGGAAUCUGCGCGCGACACGUGGCCGGGCCAACGGUCGGAAGGGGGCACCGGACUGUCCGGUGUGCACCGGACAUGUCCGGUGCGCCAACGGCUCCCAGAUCUGCAACGGUCGGCUGCGCCAUUUUAGGAAGGAGAUCGGGCACCGGACAGUGUCUGGUGUGCACCGGACUGUCCGGUGCACCCGACGACAGAAGGCAAGAUUGGCCUUCCAGAUUUGCUCUCAACGGCUCCUAGCUGCCUUGGGGCUAUAAAAGGGACCCCUAGGCGCAUGGAGAAGAUAUCCAAGCAACCUUAGAGCAUUCUUGAUCAUCCACACUCAGUCUUUGCGCAUUCAUUUGUCAUUCUCAGUGAUUCGAGCUCCGUUCUAGUGAGAACUUUGAGAUAGUCCUUUGAGCUCGAUUCUUGGCCGUGUGUGUGCGCAUUUGGCUGUGGAUUUGUGUGUGUUGCUUCCCUUCCUUACUCUGUAUUUCUUUGUGAAUCUCAAGUGUAAGGGCGAGAGGCUCCAAGUUGUGGAGAUUCCUCGCAAACGGGAAAAGAUUAAAGUAAAGAAGAACAUCGUGGUAUUCAAGUUGAUCAUUGGAUCACUUGAGAGGAGUUGAGUGCAACUCUCGUCCGUUGGGACGCCACAACGUGGAGUAGGCAAGUUUUGUACUUGGCCGAACCACGGGAUAACCACCGUGCCAUCUCUGUGAUUGAUUUCUUGUGGUUAUUGUGUUUUGACUCCUCUCUAGCCACUUGGCAAUUAUUGUGCUAACGAUUAACCAAGUUUUUGUGGCUUAAGUUUUCAAGUUUCACAGGAUCACCUAUUCACCCCCCCCUCUAGGUGCUCUCAGGCUGUCGAACCCUUCUGAGGGGCCAGCCUUCGAACCCCUGAUCAGUAGUGGGCGCAGAGCCCGAUUGCUCUGGGGCGGCUGUCGAACCCUUCCGAGGGGCUAGCCUUCGAACCCCUGAUCAGUAAUGGGCUUGGAGCCUGAGUGCUCUGGGGCGGCUGCCGAACCCUUCCGAGGGGCCAGCCUUCGAACCCCUGAUCAGUAGGAGGGCUCGGGGCCCACUUCCUUCGCGAAGAAGGAUCCCUUUCGAAGUAUCCCCUUUCCUGGUCCCUGUUAGCAAGAGAGAGAAAUGGGAAGAGGAAAAGGAUAUGAAUUUAAAUGGCGUGGUGCACCUUUUUUGACGCGGUCAUCAUGACAGAGGUGAAACGACGCCCGCUUCGCCUGCCAAAGGUGUCGCUUGCCCCGCCGAGGAGUUAAUGCGACGGGACGGGCGAUUCGCGGGGCGGCCGUUGCGUGUGCUCGAGCCAUUCGAGGAACGGAGCACGGGCACGUCAUCUUCGUGACGUGGGAGAGGGCUCUCCUGUCGCUUCAGGAGGGGACACGAGCUUGCAGGCGAUUUGACCGCUGCUUCUGCUCGUCUGCUGCUGCAAUUACUGUCGGCCCACUUUUGGCCAUAUCGACUGUCGUGCCUCCCCUCGUGGCUGACCGACCAGUGAUCGUUGUGCUCGAUUGGCACUGUUGGGUCAUGCGCAGGGCUGCCUCGAGUCGCGGCACUGGUUCCGCAGUCGAGAAGACGCGGCAUUGGUGCGAGUGGCGGUGCGGUUUCCUUGCACGCAGUAACCGUUGCGCCGGUUGCAUGACAUGCGGGCCUGGGCCUUCACGCUGACCCACCAGAUGCGAUGAAGCCAAAAGGGUGCACAACCGUGGUGCGGUCGCAUGCCUCCUGCAUGGCGAUCUGCCCUUUCGCCCGCUGGUUUCGGCGAGAAUGGGGGAACGCUUAUAACCGCGGGGCGGUUACCUGCUUCGCAUGAAGUGGUUUGGCUUCUUUCGUUUCUGGUCAGCCCGCAUGACGUGUGGGAUCCAGCCCCCGCGCCGGAGGGUGGGAACCCUGGAGCUCGUCGGUGGAGACUUUGCUCUUGACGCUUGGAAUGCAAGUGGGGAGAGCCGCCUUUAAAAAGGGAUCGAUCCCCCGGGAAGUAGACAUGCCUCCGCACUCCCCUCAUGCAUUGCGCCCUUCCACCUUCCGAGCCCCCGGAUGGGGUGCACCCGUGUUGCCUUCGUCUUGUUGCUGUUGGAGGAGCGCGACCCCGCGGGGGUUGGUGCUCUUUAUUCAUCGCUCGGCUUCAAGGAUUUUCAUCAUGUAGCCCGACUGCAUUCCCUCACCAAUGGUCAUCCGUAGGGAUGAUCACCAGCCUUGUGGUGGGGAGAAGCAAGCCGGGCUGCGGCCUCUGCCCCGCCCUCAGCUUCAAGGAUGUUCAUCAUCCUUGCUGUGGCGGAGGGCGAGCUGAGCUGGGGUUCUACCUCCCGCAUGGGCCGGUAGGCCGCCUCUUCCUUCAGCAUUCAGAGGAGAGGGCGCUCACCAGCCUUGUGGAGGGGGCGAACUUCGACAACGCGGGACCGGUCGGCCGCAAGCGUUGUCACCUCCAUCAUGCCUGGCUCGUUGGCUCAGCUGGCUCUAUCGCGGCCUCCGACACUGCCUCCUGUCGCUUGAUCCGGGCGUGGUCGUCCGUCCACCGCACGGGCGACUGUUGCGCCGUGCGCACCGGGGGAUCGUCCAAGACGUCGUACACCGCAUGGGCGGCGUUCGUGUUCUUGGAUUGUCUUGUCCUCACUCCGGCACGACGCCUCCGCGUGGAGGUCAGUGCCUGCCCGUCCGUGAGGACUUGAGUGGGGAUCUGCCGGUGCAGGCUAGGGCGGCCGCCAUUCGUUAGCGUAGCGCUGGCACGCAGGUGGCCGCUAUCGUCGGUGCUGAGGUGGUGGUCGCUAGAGGAGGUUUCUCCACCGACGAGACCAUUGGCGCCACUCGCGGUCAGACCUCCGGCUCUUUGGCUUUGAUGGCUUGUCCUCGCCCCUCGAGUGGGGACGUGGGCGAGGGCCUUCUUACAGCGGUGUUUGCCCUGAGGUCAUCGCUGCUGCUGUUUAACCGCCCGAGGCUGAGGUCGUUGUCGCUGCUGAUGGAGCGGUCGCCGGCAAGCCACCCGGAGUUUGUUAUCCCGCAGGCCCUCUGGUGUAGAGGUUGUUCAUACCCGUGGGAGUGGAACCGGAGUCCCGUUUGUAAUGGCACCCCGAGUAUGGGUGUUUGUUCAUUGUGGCCGCUGAGGCCUGAACAUUUGGGCAUUUUAGCGUAAUGCCGUGUUUUUUCCUCAUUUUGAGCACUAGGACUUGCUUGUCGGCUAGCGGAACCACUUAACCGAGCGUGAGUUGCCUUGUGUGGAAGGUGACGAGUGAGGUAUCUGUAUCCCGGAGGCGUAGGAGUCCCUCGGCUCGGUCGGCCUUGCCGCUCAAGGCUUCUCUUGCUCAGUUUUAGAACCUUCGGCCGCUCUGCGAUGAGCUGAAGCCGGAGGCAGCGGUGUCGGCAUGGACAGAGGCGGAGUCGGCUCGAAAAGAGGCUUCGUCAGCCCGGGAGCACGUGGCUUCCCUGGCCGAGGAGGUGCAACAGCGGCGGCUGGAGCUUGGCCAGGUCGUCCGCUAGCGGGACCAACCCUGGAGUCACGCUGCCGAGGCCGUGAGUCGGGCUGAGGUCCUUGGGGGACAGCUGGCUGAGGCUACGGAGCGGCUAGCCGAGGCGUCCGCUCGGGCCUGAACCCUUGCGGAGAACCUGGCUGUGAGGGCCCAAGCGCGGUGCUGGCGUCCUCCCUUGGGGUGGAGAUCCUUCCGCCCGUAUCGCCGUCUGAGGCUGGGCCAGGUUCCGCCGAGGGUGGAAACAUCGCCAAGGGUGCUGCUGCUCCCCCUCCCGAUGUCUGAACCUGCAAGAACAGUUUGUCUAUAGUAUGCGUAUGUUUUUUGCGGCCGCUGGGGCCUAAACAUUUUAACGCCGGAUUCUAAAGUUGUGUUUUCUUUCCUCUCGUUUCGUGUGUUAGGACUUGUUUGGUAGCAGAAUCCCUCGUUCGAGCGUGAGUUACUUUUCGCGAAAGGUGAUGAGUGAGGUAUCCAUAUCCCGGAGGCGUAGGAGUCCCUCGGCUCGGUCGGCCUUGCCACUUACGUGUACUCUCGUUGUUUUUAGGGUUCUGCUAUCGAAGCAGUCGAAACGACACGAAAGUCGUUCUGGCAGAAAAGUUUUCAAGCGUUAGGACUUGUUCGGUAGCAGAAUCGCUUAUCCGAGCGUGAGUUACUUAUCGCGGAAGGUGAUGAGUGAGGUAUCCGUAUCCCGGAGGCGUAGGAGUCCCUCGGCUCAGUCGGCCUUGCCGCUUAUGUGUACUCUCGUCGUUUUUAGGACCCCGCUAUCGAAGCAGUCGAAACGGCACGAAAGACGUUCUGGCAAAAGACUUUUCCGAGGAAAAUUUUGACGCAGAGGGGGUUCCCCCCUUCUAGCCCCCGAGGGAGGGUCGGGCUUUGCCGAGGCAAGGCUGAUCCUUCCUUGACGGUUAGACUUUAUUUAUGCAUGUAAAGAAAACGGGGUAUAUGAAUGACUUGAAACAUCUUAAGGGUAGAAGCGACGUAGUUGUUAGAUGUUCCAAGUGUUGCUGAAGCCUCGCCUUGAUCGUUGGCCAGCUUGUAUGUUACAGGCUUCAAAAUCUUGGUGAUGAUGAACGGACCUUCCCAGGGAGGAGUAAGCUUAUGGCACCCUCGGGCGUCUUGUCGCAGUCAAAGUACCAAGUCUCCCACCUGGAAGCCUCGGGGCCGAACCAUUCGGGCGUGGUAGCGUCGUAGAGACUGCUGAUACCGUGCCGAGUGUAGUAAGGCCACGUCCCGAGCUUCUUCGAGCUGGUCUGGUUGCUUCGGUCGUCGUACGCCUUUGUCCUCGGGGAACCGUAUUCUAAUUCUAUUGGUAAGAUGGCCUCGGCCCCAUAGACUAGAAAGAACAGCGAGAAACCCGUGGCUCGGCUCGGCGUCAUCCUCAGACUCCAGACCACCGAGGGUAGCUCUUUCAUCCACCACUUGCCAAACUUGUUGAGGUCGUUGUAGAUCCUCGGUUUAAGUCCCUGCAGAAUCAUACCGUUGGCACGCUCCACCUGCCCAUUCGUCAUGGGGUGAGCUACGGCGGCCCAGUCCACACGGAUGUGGUGGUCCUCGCAGAAGUCCAGGAACUUCUUCCCAGUGAACUGUGUGCCAUUGUCGGUGAUGAUGGAGUUCGGGACCGCCUGCUCGGACCUGAUGCUGGUUAGGGGUCGGACCUCGAUCCACUUGGAGAAUUUGUCGAUGGCGACCAGCAGGUGCGAGAAGCCCCCGGGUGCCUUUUGCAAGGGACCGACGAGGUCCAGACCCCACACGGCAAACGACCAGGUGAUGGGUAUUGUCUGCAGGGCCUGAGUGGGCAGGUGCGUCUGUCUUGCGUAGAAUUGACACCCUCGGCAGCAGCGUACAAUCCUAGUGGCGUCGGCCACCGCGGUCGGCCAGUAGAAGCCUUGUCGGAAAGCGUUUCCGACGAGGGCUCGAGGUGCUGCAUGGUGACCGCAAGCCCCCGAGUGUAUCUCUUGCAACAGCUCUUGUCCUUCGGCGACGGAUAUGCAUCGUUGGAGAAUGCCUGAGGGGCUGCGGUGGUAGAGCUCCUUUUCAUCACCCAGUAAGACGAAUGACUUGGCAAGCCGAGCCAGUCGCCGAGCUUCGGCCUUGUCGAGGGGUAGCUCUCCUCGGUGGAGAUAUUGCAGGUACGGGGUCUGCCAGUUUCGGUUUGGCGCAACCCCAUUCCGCUCUCCCUCGAUGUGCAAGGCCUCGCCCUCGGUGGGCGAGGGUACCUCGGGCUGAGCCGAGGUCUCGUCGGGCUCGGGCGUGUCCUCGAUCUUGACAGAGGGUUGAUGUAUGUCUCUGGAGAAGACGUCCGGGGGAACCGUUGUCCGCCCUGAGGCUAUUUUCGCCAGCUUGUCCGCAGUCUCGUUGUACCGUCGAGCGAUGUGGUUGAGCUCCAGCCCGUAGAACUUGUCUUCCAGGCACCGAACUUCGUCGUAGUAGGCCUCCAUCUUCGGGUCGCGGCAGCGGGAGUUCUUCAUGACUUGGUCGAUGACAAGCUGUGAGUCCCCACGAGCGUCAAGGCGCCGAACCCCUAGCUCGACGGCGAUGCACAGCCCAUUAACCAAAGCCUCGUACUCGGCCACGUUGUUUGAUGCCGGAAAAUGGAUGCGCAGCACGUAGCGCACAUGUUUCCCGAGGGGUGAGAUGAAGAGCAGGUCCGCACCGGCCCCUGUUUUCAUCAGCGACCCAUCGAAGUACAUGGUCCAAAGCUCGGGUUGGAUCGGAGCUGUUGGCAAUAGGGUAUCGACCCAUUCAGCCACGAAGUCCGCCAAGACUUGGGAUUUUAUGGCCUUCCAAGGAGCGAACAAGAUUGUCUCGCCCAUGAGUUCCACUGCCCACUUUGCUAUCCUACCCGAGGCCUCUUGGCACUGGAUGAUCUCCCCCAGGGGGAAGGAUGACACCACAGUCACCGGAUGAGAUUCGAAGUAGUGUCACAAUUUUCACCGCGCCAGAAUUACUACGUAUAGUAGCUUCUGGAUUUGUGGGUAGCAGAUCUUGGUCUCGGAUAGCACCUCACUGAUGAAGUAAACCGGCCUCUGGACGAGCAGUGCAUGCCCUUCUUCUCGUAUCUCGACUACGAUCGCGCGCUGACCACCUGAGUGGUUGCGGCUACAUAGAUCAAGAGGGCUUCUCCCGCAGCGGGGGCACCAAGAUGGGCGCGUUUGUAAGGAGCGCAUUUAAGUUUCUGAGGGCUUCCUCGGCCUCGGGGGUCCAAGUGAAGCGCUCGGCCUUCCUUAAGAGGCGGUACAAGGGUAGGCCUUUUUCGCCGAGGCGCGAGAUGAAGCGGCUCAGAGCCGCAAGGCAUCCCAUGACCCUUUGUACUCCUUUAAAAUCUUUGAUAGGCCCCAUGUUGGUGAUGGUCGCGAUUUUCUCCAGGUUGGCCUCGAUGCGCCGCUCGGAGACGAUGAACCCCAGGAGCAUGCCUCGGGGGACUCCGAAGACACACUUCUCGGGAUUGAGUUUCACGCCUUUCACUCUCAGACACUUGAAUGUCGUUUCAAGGUCGGAGAGGAGGUCGGAGGCUUUCCUCGUCUUGACAACGAUGUCAUCGAGGUAUGCCUCGACCGUUCGGCCGAUGUGCUCUCCGAACACGUAGUUCAUGCACCUUUGGUAUGUUGCACCUGCAUUCCUCAAGCCAAAUGGCAUAGUAGUAUAAUAGUACAUGCCAAAAGGUGUGAUGAAAGAAGUCGCGAGCUGGUCGGACUCUUUCAUCUUGAUCUGGUGAUAACCUGAACAGGCGUCGAGGAAUGACAGGGUUUCGCACCCAGCAGUGGAGUCCACAAUUUGAUCGAUGCGAGGCAGAGGGUAGGGAACCUUUGGACAUGCUUUGUUUAGACCAGUGUAGUCUACGCACAUCCUCCAUUUCCCGCCUUUAUUUUUUACAAGCACAGGGUUAGCUAACCAUUCGGGAUGGAAUACCUAUUUGAUGAACCCUGCAGCUAUCAUCUUGUGGAUCUCCUCGCCUAUGGCUCUGUGCUUUUCUUCUUCGAAACGGCGCAGAGGCUGCUUCACGGGUCGGGCACCGGCUCGGAUAUCCAGUGAGUGCUCGGCGACAUUCCUCGGUAUGCCGGGCAUGUCCGAGGGACUCCACACAAAAACUUCAGCGUUUGCGCGGAGAAAGUCGACGAGCACUGCUUCCUAUUUGGGGUCGAGCUCGGAGUCGAUCUGGACUUGCUUGCAGGCGUCUUUGCUGGGGUCGAGGGUGACGGACUUAACCACCUCAGCCGGUUCGAAGAUGCCGACGUGGCGCUUCGCAUCAGGCACCUCCUUGGAGAGGCACUCUAGGUCGGCGAUGAGGGCCUCGGACUCGGCGAGGGCCUCAGCGUACUCCACGCACUCCAUGUCGCAUUCGUACACGUGUCGGUAUGUGGAUCCGAUGGUGAUGACCCCGUUGGGGCCUGGCAUCUUGAGCUUGAGGUACGUGUAGUUGGGGACGGCCAUGAACUUGGCGUAGCACGGUCUCCCCAGCACUGCGUGGUAGGUCCCUCGGAACCCGACCACCUCGAACGUGAGGGUUUCCCUGCGGAAGUUGGAGGGAGUUCCGAAGCAGACGGGCAAAUCGAGUUGUCCAAUGGGGAGGAUGCGCUUUCCGGGGACGAUCCCGUGAAAGGGCGCCGCACCGGCCCAGAUUGUGGACAGAUCGAUCUCCAAAAGCCCGAGGGUCUCGGCGUAGAUGAUGUUGAGGCUGCUGCCUCCGUCCAUGAGGACCUUGGUGAGCCUUGCGUUGCCGAUGACAGGAUCGACAACAAGCGGGUACCUUCCUAGGCUCGGCACGCAGUCGGGGUGGUCGCCUUGGUCGAAGGUGAUGGGCUUGUCGGACCAGUCUAGGUAGACUGGCGCCGCCACCUUUACCGAGCAGACCUCCCGGCGUUCUUGCUUGCGGUGCCGGGCUGAGGCGUUCGCCACUUGCCCACCGUAGAUCAUGAAGCAGCCGUGGACCUCGGGGAACUCCUCUUCCUUGUCGCCCUCUUUCUUUUUGUUGUCUUGGCCUUUGCCAUCUCCCGCCGGGGGCCCGGCCUUAUGGAAGUAGCGCCGAAGCAUGACGCAUUCCUCAAGGGUGUGCUUGAUGGGACCCUAGUGGUAGGGGCACGACUCCUUGAGCAUCUUAUCGAACAGGUUGGCCCCUCCGGGAGGCUUCCGAGGGUUCCUGUGUUCGACAGCAGCGACGAGAUCCGCGUCAGUGGCGUCGCACUUUGCUUGCGCCUUCUUCUUGGCCUUCUUCUUUGUGCCACGCUAGGCGGACGCCUCGGGGACAUCUUCCUGCUGCCGUCCCUGAGGCUGCUGUCCUUCCGGAAGAUGGCUUCGACCGCCUCCUGGCCAGAGGCGAACUUGGUGGCGAUGUCCAUCAACUCGCUCGCCUUGGUGGGAGUCUUGCGCCCGAGUUUUCUCACCAGGUCUCGGCACGUGGUGCCAGCGAGGAACGCCCCGAUGACAUCCGAGUCGGUGAUGUUGGGCAGCUCGGUGCGCUGCUUUGAAAACCGUCAGAUGUACUCUCGCAGGGAUUUCCCUGGCUGCUGGCGGCAGCUUCGGAGAUCCCAGGAGUUCCUAGGGCGCAUGUACGUGCCCUGGAAAUUUCUAGCGAAAGCCUUGACCAGGUCGUCCCAGUUGGAGAUCUGUGCGGGAGGCAGAUGCUCCAGCUAGGCCCGGGCAGCAUCGGAGAGGAACAGGGGGAGGUCGCGAAUGAUGAGGUUGUCGUCGUCUGUCCCUCCCAGCUAGCAGGCCAACCGGUAGUUCGCAAGCCACAACUCCGGCCUCGUCUCCCCCGAAUACUUGGUGAUGGUAGUCGAGGCCCGGAACCGAGCAGGGAACGGUGCUGUCGGGGACCAUAAUUAGGGGUACCCUCAAGACGCCUAAUUCUCAGCUGGUAACCCCCAUCAGCAUAAAGCUGCAGAGGCCUGAUGGGUGCGAUUAAGUUAGGGAUCAGUCCAUACGAGUGACUCGAUCACGCUUCGCCCGAGCCUAGCCUCGGACAAGAGCAGCCGACCUCGAGGGACUUCCGUCUCGCCCGAGGCCCCCCUUUUAACGGCGGACACAUCUCCGGCUCGCCCGAGGCCUUGGCUUCGCUAGGAAGCAACCCUGACUAAAUCGCCGCACCGACUGACCGAGUUGCAGGAGCAUUUAACGCAAAGGUGGUCUGACACCUUUAUCCUGACGCGCGCCCCCCAGCAGAGCCGAAGUGACCGCCGUCACUCCGCCGCUCCACUGACCGGUCAGACAGAAGGACAGCGCCGCCUGCGCCACUCCGACUGCAGUGCCACUCGACAGAGUGAGUCUGACAGGCAGUCAGGCCUUGCCAAAGGCGCCAUAGGAAACUCCGCUCCGCCCGACCCUAGGGCUCGGACUCGGGCUAAGACCCGGGAGACGGCGAACUCCGCUCCGCCCGACCCCAGGGCUCGGACUCGGGCUAAGACCCGGAAGACGGCGAACUCCGCUCCGCCCGACCCCAGGGCUCGGACUCGGGCUAAGACCCGGAAGACGGCGAACUCCGCUCCGCCCGACCCCAGGGCUCGGACUCGGGCUAAGGCCCGGAAGACGGCGAACUCCGCUCCGCCCGACCCAGGGCUCGGACUCGGGCUCAGCCCCAGAAGACGACGAACUCCGCUUCGCCCGACCCCAGGGCUCGGACUCCGCCCUGGCCUCUGCCGAACGAUCUCCGCCUCGCCCGACCCGGGGGCUCGGGCUCGGCCUCGGCCACGGAAGACAGACUCGACCUCGGCUUCGGAGGAGCCCCCACGUCGCCCGACCUAGGGCACAGGCCCGCCACGUCAACAGGAAACGCCAUCAUCAUCCUACCCCGAGCCGACUCGGGUCACGGAGAACAAGACCGGUGUCCCAUCUGGCUAGCUCCGCCAGAUGGGCAAUGAUGGCGCCCCACAAGCCCUGUGACGACGGUGGCUCUCAGCUCUCUUACGGAAGCAGGGUGACGUCAGCAAGGACUCGACCGCUCCAACAGCUGUCCCUCCGCCAGGCUCCGUUGCUCCUCCGACAGCCACGACAUCACGCCAGCAGGGUGCCAAGAUCUCUCCGGCUGCCACAUUGGCAUGUACUUAGGGCGCUAGCUCUCCCUCCGCUAGACACGUAGCACUCUGCUACACCCCCAUUGUACACCUGGAUCCUCUCCUUACGCCUAUAAAAGGAAGGACCAGGGCCUUCUUAGAGAAGGUUGGCCGCGCGGGGACGAGGACGGGACAGGCGCUCUCUUGGGGCCGCUCGCUUCCCUCACCCGCGUGGACGCUUGUAACCCCCUACUGCAAGCGCACCCGACCUGGGCGCGGGACGAACACGAAGGCCGCGGGAUCUCCACCUCUCUCACGCCCGUCUCCGGCCACCUCGCUUCUCCCCCCUUCGCGCUCGCCCACGCGCUCGACCCAUCUGGGCUGGGGCACGCGGCACACUCACUCGUCGGCUCGGGGACCCCCCGGUCUCGAAACGCCGACAGUUGGCGCGCUAGGUAGGGGCCUGCUGCGUGCUGAUGAACAGCUUCCCGUCAAGCUCCAGAUGGGCAGUCUCCAGCAACCUCUCCGGCCCGGGACGGUGCUCCGUUUCGGGAGUCUUGAGUUCAAGUCCUUCGACGGCAGCUACGACAUGAUACUUCUUCCACCGCCGCGCGACAACGACAAUGGCGGCCGACAUCCCGCCCGCCGGCGGUGGAACCGACGACAUCUCCCCCGCGCGGUGGAAGAACAACAUUCGAGCUCGCCCCGUCCUCUCCCCCGCCAACGGAGGAGGAGGCGGGGCAACCAAGGCCAAGCGGGAGGACGCGCUUCGUCGGCUGUCGAGCGGAUCGACAUCCCCAGCGCCCCGACGGAAGGCACGCCGGGCGUCAACCUCGCGUUCGAGACGAAGGCGAGCGCCGUCCCCCCGCGACACGCCAACCCCGAGCAAGUGGACGACGCCGGCGCACUCGCGGAGAGCUUGCAGGACGUCGCCCUCGUACCUGAGAUGACGGUGCAACCAGUCCCCGAUGUGACUACGUCGCUCCGCGUCGACCAAAAGGUACUGACUAAUUCCCAUCCUACGUCUUUUCGACUCGGCCUCAACCCGCCAAGCGACCUCGCUUUGGCGGGCGCUCUCAUUGAGGCGAGUGCAACCCCACUGGGGUUUCGUAUGCGGUCGCCUUGGGACCGAUUGACGGACGUCUCGACCUACGGGCCCUCUGGGUCCGAGGAAGAUGACGAUCCCAGCAUCUGUUGGGAUUUCUCUGGAUUUGGCAACCCUAGUGCCAUGCAGGACUUCAUGACCGCAUGUGACUACUGCCUCUCCGACUGUUCCGAUGGAAGCCGCAGCCUUGACGACGAGGACUGCGGCCCAAGCCACGAAUGUUUCCACGUCGAGCUAGGGGAUCCCUCCGAAGGCAACCAUCUUGGCAUGCCGGAGGAUGGUGAUUUUCCUAGGCCGGUGCCUCGCGCUGACAUCCCGCGGGAGCUAGCUGUGGUCCCCGUUCCAGCGGGGGGUCACGACCCACAGCUCGAGCAAGUCCGCGGGGCGCAGGCCAGGCUCGACGAGGGAACAGGAGCGCUUGAGACGAUCCACCGGGACGUCGGGCAGGUAUGGGCGGGCCAACCCCCGGCCGGAGAAAUACGUCACCUGCCCCAGGGUCUCCAGCACCGCGUCGCCAACGAUGUCAGGGUCAGGCCGCCGCCCGCAUCCAGCGGGGUUGGUCAGAACCUGGCAGCCGCAGCGAUGCUCCUCCGCGCGAUGCCGGAGCCAUCAACCACCGAGGGUCGGCGAAUCCAGGGAGAGCUCAAGAAUCUCCUGGAAGGCGCUGCGGCCCGACGAGCCGAAAGCACUGCCUCCCGAAGGCAGGGAUACCCCUCGGAACCUCACGCCGCGACUUCCCGAUUCAUGCGGGAAGCCUCGGUCUAGACCGGGCGCACGCGCAACACCGCGCCUGCGGCCCCGGGCCACCUCGGCAACGAGCACCACCGUCGCGACCGUCGGGCCCACCUCGACGAAAGGGUGCGCCGAGGCUACCACCCCAGGCGUGGGGGGCGCUACGACAGCGGGGAGGAUCGGAGUCCCUCGCCCGAACCACCCGGUCCGCAGGCCUUCAGUCGGGCCAUCCGACGGGCGCCGUUCCCGACCCGGUUCCGACCCCCGACUACUAUCAUGAAGUACUCGGGGGAAACGAGACCGGAACUGUGGCUCGCGGACUACCGCCUGGCCUGCCAACUGGGAGGAACGGAUGACGACAACCUCAUCAUCCGCAACCUUCCCCUGUUCCUCUCCGACACUGCUCGCGCCUGGUUGGAGCACCUGCCUCCGGGACAGAUCUCCAACUGGGACGACUUGGUCCAAGCCUUCGCCGGCAAUUUCCAGGGCACGUACGUGCGCCCCGGGAAUUCCUGGGACCUCCGGAGCUGCCAGCAACAGCCGGGAGAGUCUCUCCGGGACUACAUCCGGCGAUUCUCGAAGCAGCGCACCGAGCUGCCCAACAUCACCGACUCGGAUGUCAUCGGCGCGUUCCUCGCCGGCACCACCUGCCGCGACCUGGUGAGUAAGUUGGGUCGCAAGACCCCCACCAGGGCGAGCGAGCUGAUGGACAUCGCCACCAAGUUCGCCUCUGGCCAGGAGGCGGUUGAGGCUAUCUUCCGAAAGGACAAGCAGCCCCAGGGCCGCCCAUCGGAAGAGGCACCCGAGGCGUCUACUCCGCGCGGCGCCAAGAAGAAAGGCAAGAAGAAGUCGCAAUCGAAACGCGACGCCGCCGACGCGGACCUUGUCGCCGCCGCCGAGUACAAGAACCCUCGGAAGCCCCCAGAGGUGCUAACCUCUUCGACAAGAUGCUCAAGGAGCCGUGCCCCUACCAUCAGGGGCCCGUCAAGCACACUCUCGAGGAGUGCGUCAUGCUUCGACGCCACUUCCACAGGGCCGGGCCACCCACAGAGGGUGGCAGGGCCCGUGACGACGACAAGAGGGAAGAUCACCAAGCAGGAGAGUACCCCGAGGUCCGCGACUGCUUCAUGAUCUACGGUGGGCAUGCGGCGAAUGCCUCGGCUCGGCAUCGCAAGCAAGAGCGCCGGGAGGUCUGCUCGGUGAAGGUGGCGGCGCCAGUCUACCUAGACUGGUCCGACAAGCCCAUCACCUUCGACCAGGCCGACCACCCCGACCACGUGCCGAGCCCGGGGAAAUACCCGCUCGUCGUCGAUCCCAUCAUCGGCAACGUCAGGCUCACCAAGGUCCUGAUGGAUGGGGGCAGCUGCCUCAACAUCAUCUACGCCGAGACCCUCAGGCUCCUGCGCAUUGAUCUGUCCUCCGUCCGGGCAGGCGCUGCGCCGUUCCACGGGAUCAUCCCUGGGAAGCGCGUCCAGCCCCUCGGACGACUCGACCUUCCUGUCUGCUUCAGAACGCCCUCCAACUUCCGAAGGGAGACCUUGACGUUCGAGGUGGUCGGGUUCCGAGGAACCUACCACGUGGUACUGGGGAGGCCAUGCUACGCGAAGUUCAUGGCCGUCCCCAACUACACCUACCUGAAGCUCAAGAUGCCGGGCCCCAACGGGGUCAUCACCGUCGGCCCCACGUACAAACACGCGUUCGAAUGCGACGUGGAGUGCGUGGAGUACGCCGAGGCCCUCGCCGAGUCCGAGGCCCUCAUCGCCGACCUGGAGAACCUC